UCUUGGUCUUCGGCUCCGGCGGCCGCACCUUCUCGACGGCCACCCUGAGCACCCCGUCCUGGCACGCCGCGGUCACCGUCUCCACAUUAGCGUUCUCCGGCAGCGCGAACCUCCUCAGGAACUUCCCGGUCCUCCUCUCCAUGCUCAGGUACUUGGCCCCUUCCUCUUUCUCCCUCUUCCUCUCCCCGCUCACGACGAGCACGUUGUCGUUCUCUAUCUGCACCUUGAUCUCGCUGGCCCUUAUCCUGGGCAUGUCCACGACGAACACGUAGGAGACCGGGUACUCCACGACGUCCGCAGGGGUCGCCGCCAUGGCCUUUGCAUCGCGGACGUAGGCGCGCGAGGGGUUGCUCCUCUCUCGGGCUCCUCGGGGAAGUCGAGCAUGUCUUCGAGGAUCCCAAAGAGGCGCGAAUCGAAGCCGAGAUUACGCAGAUCCAUCGGGCUGUUCGCUUUUCCUCGUCUUGAAGAGGGAGUGUGCUUGAUUGUGGGAUGCAGAGGCUGGAGCUCUAGUUAACUGGGGUUUUAUAGAGCAGUUUGAAGGAGGGGAUCGCCAUGAGAGAGGUCUUGAGAGAGUUCUGGAGAAGAGUAGAGGGAAUUUUGCUCAUGAUGGGUUUUGAGAUGCUUCGGCAAUCUUCUGUAAUUUACCAUAGAGAUUACUAAAUAGUGACAUUCACCUUUUUAACGACACGUGGUCCAUUUGAUUAAUCUGUAUUAAUCAAUCUCAUCUUCCUAUCAUAGAGCACACUCGAACGUCGAGUAAAUGCAAGAUUUGCCAUCAUUUUAGUAAAUCCUUCGCCAGGUAAGAUUUCUUUGAUGAAAAACUGUUAAGAAGUAUUUGAAAUUUAGAUUUUAAAUGUCUAUUAAGGUAGUUCCAAGUUUUUUUUUUUUUAAAGAUAAGUUAUCAAUUGAAUAAAGUGUAAAAAAAGUCAAACUUAUUACAUUUGUACAAUUUAGCUUUAAACCUUUUGAUUUAGUACCAAUUUAGUCAUUAUGAGAAAUUUUGUUUAGAUACUGCAAAUGUGAACGUUGGUUGGCUUACAUGGCAUCGCUAGUACUAACAGGGACAGUUUUAAAUAAUUUUUAAAUAAUUUUUUGAUUUUUUUUCUAUCAUUAUUUCUUUCUUUUCUUCUUCAUUUUGCUGGUGACCGGCCACUGGCCACACACGAUGGUUGGGUCGAUUGGCCUUGCCUAGCCAGGGCAAGGCCGAGCCUCGGUGAGGGCUUCCUUGGCAUAGGCCAGGGUCGGCCUCACCUAGGCCAAAUCUGGUGAGGUGAGCCUACCUGGCUAUCGCUUGUGGUCAGUCACCACAAAAGAAAGAAGAAAGGAGAGACAAAAAGAAAAAGAAAAAAGAAAAAAGAGAAAAGAGAAAAGAGAAAAGAGAAAAAAAAAAAACAAAAUAAUAAAAAAUUAAAAAAUUAUUGGAAUAUUAUUUCACGCUAACACCGGUGGUGCCACAUUAGCCGACUAGUGUCCAUGUCAGCAAUGUCCAACUAAAAUUUAUCGGAAAUAUUGAAUUGAUAUUGAAUCAAAAGAUUUAAGACUAAAUUGGCACUGAUACAAUAAAUUUAUAACUAAAUUGACAUUCAUACAAUGAUUUAUGAUUUUUUUGACACUUUUCUCCUAUCGAUCAUAGAGUAUCCACAAUUUAAUUAUUGCUUAUUUUAAUAAAUAGAACUUGGAAGAACCUUGCUAGUUGAAAUGUGAGAUUGACAAUUGCUUACCAACAAUGGCUAGAAAUGGAAAAGAAGAAGGGAAACUACCAUUGAUCAUGCAUGUUAGCGAUCAUUUCUAAACAAUGAAUUUGUUUAUCAUAGUUGAAAAACCCAUUUCGAAAACUUAAACUGAUAGAUGCACAAAAAAGAAAAUGUAAAGUACACAGAAAUAAAUUAGAGCAUAAUUUGGCUUUGGUAUUACGAUAAAAGAUUCAACUUAAAAGCUUGAGUUGAUAAUAGAGAUGACAUGUAUAUAAAAUGUAGACAAACCUCACCAUCAAGCAAUAUGAAAUAUUUCAACAGUCAUACUUUAAAAAAAUUUGAGAUUGAACGUUAACUAAUAAUUUGCUUCAUAUGUCUCGUAAUUAUAAGAAUCAUACAAGCUCCCAUCUGUGGGGGCAAAUGUAUAAUACAAGCUUCUAAACAAAGGAGGCAUGACAGGAUCAUAUCAUUAGCCACGAGUCUAGGGUCUGCUACAAUAAAAUAAAAAAAAGGGACCGCAUCCCACGUGCAAAAUUGACUGGUUAACAACAAGAACAGUAAGAUCACUUUUGCAUUUACUAAUACGUAAUAACUUAAAAGGUAAUUUAAUGACGUUGAAACUAAUUUUAUAAACACAAAAGGAAAUGUGGGUUUGCAUUGUACACAGUUGCGGAUGUCCAUAAAUAUUUAAUUUUCGAACUCUCCUUUAAUUGAUCCGGCUUGCUCAUGCAGUCAAACUCGACAUUCUCAACAAUUAGCAACUAUGUUGUUGUUGGUUGAAAGACUAAGCGUAAAUGCACUUAUGACACCAUUGCUCGUUUCAAGCAUCUUCCUAACAUAGUCCACCUAAGUUAAAUAAUCUUUGCUGAAGAAUAAGGUACUUCACAUGCUCAAAUAAGAAUAUAAGAAGAGCUUUAGAAGUUCACAUGCCGCGUUUAGGAAACUGGGGAUGCAUCUGGGAACCAUUUGGCGGGGACAUCGUAUUCAUUUGGCCUAUGUAGGUCAAGUUCACGGUUUUAUAUAUGUCCAUAUUCGUAAGAAAAGGACAAAAAUGGUGUUUGAAAUAUCUGUGAUUGUUCGCAAAAUUACCUUAGAGAAUUUUGGUCUUUGAUUAUCGCCAAUCAUGUCUAAGAUUGCGUGUAAAAAGUCCGGUCGUGGUUUGAGGGAAGAGCAUCGUCGCACAGGCUACGAUUCCUCUGCCUUGGAAAGGUGCCUCGAGUGUAGAUUCGCCGCCUCAGCCCUUUUUGAGAAUUAACUAUAGUCGAAGCGAGCUUAUGACUUUCUCCAUGUCUGCUCAGAGGCAGCUCGUUUCGCAAGAGCUUCUUUGACCUGGAGCCAUUCUUCUCCUCUUUUGCUCCAACGCCUGCUCCAACUCCUUCCCUCCCUUUGACGAGCGGAUCGGUCGCCCAUAACACUUGUACUUGCAUCAAAUUCAUCAUCUUGAAUGGCACCAACCGGGACUAGGCGGGACUUGAGGUUGAGGACUGAGCAGUUCGGGGACAUGCCCAUCACGACCAGUGCCGGAGGAGGCGAAGGCUUGGCGGUGGGCAGGUCGUCAGAGGCGGAAGGAUCGGGGCGAAGGAGGGGGCGAAGGCACUUGGAGAUGGAGGAAGACUCGUUGUCCCGUCUGGAUGGCCUGAGUCUCGUGGGUGUGUGGGUUUUGAAAUAAUGGGUUGGACUAUAGUUUUUCUCAGUCCAUUUAAGCCCAUUUUAGAAGGAAAAAAACGAGUGACUCGUACAAAUUUGGACUCAUUAAAUUUGAGUCAUAAAAAAUGACGGGAUCAUAUCAGUAGUCACAAGUCUAGAGUCUGCUGUGAGAAAAAAAAGGGAUUGCAUCCCACGGGCCAAAUCGACUGGUUACCAACACAAAGAUAAUUUAUGAACUGUAAGAUCACUUUUGCAUUUACUAAUACUUAUGAACGUAAAGGUAAUUUAAUAACGUAGAAACUAAUUUCAUGAAUGCAAAACUAUGACUUACAAACAUCAUUUUGCAGUCAUGAUACAAUAAAGAUGUUACUACAAUUAGACCGCGCUAGCAAUUUAUUAACAAUAAGUAUAAUUAAGAUCAUCCAAAAUUAGCACUCACCCUAUUUACUAAUCACAAGGGAAAUGACAACCUUAGAGGUGCAUUACAUCUUAAAGGGUAAAUUACUACUUUUAAUUACUUACUAUAAGGCAUAUGAUUGUCUUAAGAGACGCUGCUACUUUGAAGAGUACUUACACUUAGUGAUUUCCUUAUAACAUAGCAAAUUAUCUCAAACCAUCGCAAGUGAUAAAACACUGGCUAAUUGACCUAAAGCUGUGGUAAAUUGGCUAAACUCCUCACAAUAAUAUUGCACUUAUUGUUCGAACCGUUUUAUUAAAACUAAUGACAUUUCUUUACACUUCGUAAGUUGGGGAUGUUGUCGUCAGUAAUUAUCCAUUGAUGAUUUUAAUUUUCUUAAUUAGUCGCAAUUGGUAGUUCAUUAUGGUUAACCACUGGCAUACUUUUUUUUCUUCCCCAACUGGAAAGUCCCCGUCAUACGUGAUCUAGUUAAGGGAAAAACAAAUACCUUAGCAUGUGUUCUCUUCUUACUUGUAACCAUCUGUAAUCCGACUACAACCACAACUCACUCCUUACAUUAAGCACAUCAUAUAAAGAAAGAAGAAAGAGAAGACAAUUCCAUGUAUUAAUAUUACCUACUGUUGAUACUCCAUUACAUCAUCCAUGUAAACUCCAUUCUUUUACAUGCAUCAUCCAUCGACGUCUAAGACACUUAUUGUUUAAACCAGCACAUAGACACAUGCAUUCUCAAACGUAUCGUACAUAAUUGGCUAAUGGGCACACUGAAUAGCACAUAAUAUAUAGCAUCUUCUCUUGCAUGGACUCAUGGCUCAAUGCAUUUCUUCUAGGACAAACGCACUUUAGCAGUAGACAGCCACUAAACCAUAGGAUCCUCCCUCUUCCCUUUAUUGAAGGCUUUGUAGACAAAUUUCAGGGCUUUGCAGACUAACUUCAGGACUUUGAGUACCAAUUUCCAGAUUAAGCGGAUUACAUGGCACAGGAAAAUAAGAGACAUCAACCAUGUCCAUGCUUUCACCGCAAUUACAACUACUGGAUCCUAAUUGGAUUAAGCGGAUCAUACGUUUUGUCCUUCUCCGGUGAGGCGAAUACCAUGAGGAUUGAAUAACUCAAUGCUGUGCAGGUUAUCGCAACCCACAUAGUUAGCAUUACAAUCCAAGUGGUGAUCCGACGCCGCUUUAAGGGAAGACCACUUAUGAGAAAUAUAAUGGUGCUAAGUGAUGCGAUGAAGCUUAUCGUGUUAGAUGCUUUGAAAAACUGGUAAUAGUCAUCGAAGCCGUUCAUUGCCUUUGCAGAUUCGUCAGGUGGGUCCUUACCCGCUUCGUAAGCUAUGGUAGCGACCAAUAUCGCCACAAUCAUUAGCGCCUCAUGCAUACCCUGUUGCCACUUUCUUUUCCUUUCCCUCUUGAUCUCUUUUUUCGUAAGUGGAUGGAAGGUGGUGCCCGUGUUAUUCGGAAAGACUGUUCCUUUGGACGGGUUGUGAUUCUCUGAAGUUUGAGGAACAGAAUUCACUAUCUCUAAGGCUCUUUCCAUGCUUUGGCCUUGUGCCAGUAGGCCUAGUGCUGUGAAACCUUUGGAGUUCGUAAUGUUUGGGUCUACUCCUUUAUUAGUAAGGAAGAUUAUAGUCUGCAGAGGAAUAACAACAGAAUGUACCAGUUGAUGUUAAGUUUGAACUAGACAAGCCCAUGUUAUAUACUUUUGAGGACUAAGUUUGCUUCUAGUGUUUUUAAGUCCUCAAAUGUUUGUGACUAUUAUGUGAUGUCUUCAAAAGGGAAUCUCAUUUCUUGUUGAAUUUCUUCUGCUUCUCUGUUUCUAUCUUCCUUCUAAUCUAGAAGAAAUUAGUGUGAAAAUAACGUGAAGCGUAAAGUCGUAGUUAAUUAUAUGGACAAAUGACUUCUUUCCCAAAUAUCAAGCCUGUGAUGAUUUAGGAAAAAGUAUAAGAAAAGUCUUAAACCUAGUUGAGACCUAGUCGAGCGGAAGUGUAUGGUUAGUGGUCGGUAAAAGGAAGAAAAGGAAAAAAGGAAAGAACAAAAUCAGAAAAAUAAUAUCAAAAAAAUAUAUUAUUAAAAAUUAUAUAUAUCAGCAUCGCUGUGCAACAUAGGACAGUCGGCGUCGAUAUUAGUAAUUUUUGGCCAAAAUUAGUCCGAUGGACUGAAUUGAUACUAAAUCAAAAAGUUUAGGACUAAAUUGACAUAAUUAAAAUGUUAAGGAUUUUUUUUAACACUUUCCCCAGUGAUUAAUAAAUAGAUGUCUUUUAACUUGCGAAUAUUUCUGGAACAUUCAUGUUUCCUAAAACCACCUUUUUUUGUUGAUAAGCUCAAUGAAUUUGACUAAUGUAAAGGCUUGGUUAUAUGAACAUACCUCAGUUUGUCCAUCUACAGCAGCUAAAUGUAAAAUUGUGUUACCAUCUUCGUCCCUUGAGUUGAUGAACUGAUCAUCACCCAAUAUAUCUAUCAAAAGCUUCAAAGCUUCCAGUCUGUUGUGCUUCACGCAUAAAUGCAGAAUCGUUUGGCCAUUUUCGAUGACACUAUGAGCUGCAUCAGGUGUUGCUCGAACCAAGCAUUCCAACACAUCCACAUGCCCUUUCAUAGCUGCAACAUGAAGAGGGUUUCUUUUGUAUUUGUCACGGAGGAAACAUAUUUCGGGGUUGACUCUUACCAAGCUUUCCACUAUGUGAAGAUACCCUUUUGCUGCCGCGAGAUGAAGAGGCGUCAAACUUUGAGAAUCUUGCUCUCUUGCCAGCUCAGUCUUUCGAGCUAGGAUCUCUUCCACAAAAUCCAAGUGUCCGAGCAUGGUUGCAACGUGCAAAUGAGUCUCAUUGCGAUUCCCAGUCAUAAUUCUGUCAAGAAGCAACUUAUCUUUUCCGAGUAACUCAAUCAAAGAACGCACAUUUCCUUCCACAGCAGCUUCAUAGAGCUCGGAAUCCAUGUUUGGCUCUCUAAAAUGGGAGUUUCGGGAUACUCACUACUCCAGUUUGGACUUGAAUAUAUACUGUAAAGGUAGGCUGACGAGGAUCAAAAAAUGAUUGGUGGAUAAUUUGACAUCUCUUAUCUGCAAGUACGUGGCUCAAGUUUCCGUUGGCCACACCUCGUUGCGCCUUGGAUGUUUCUGUACACACGCUAGGAGAGACGUUAGCUCACGGCUCUAUAGACCUAGUCAAACUCCGCCACGCCAAUCGUUCGUAGACAUUUGGAGUCUACUUACAACUUGUUCUUGGGGGUAGUAAGAAGGAACUCCAAAGUUAAACAUAUUCAAGUUAGAGCACUACUAGGAUGGUGACUUCUUGAAAAAGUAAGUGCCCAUAAGUUAGAGGACAAAACUGUGAGAUUCACUAUGGUAUAGGCCACAAAAAAGAUAAUACUUCGAGUGAGUUAAUUCAAUAAUGUUAUAAUAUGGUAUUAGAGUGGAACUCUCCCUAGUAAGUAUAUGGUUUAUGGAUGAACCACACGGAAGUUGGUGGACUCAUAAUGACUCAGUCUCAUGAGGGUGGGGAGUAGUCACCAAAACAAAGGGCUCGGAUAAUGAGCGGCUUAAGGUAGGCUUUUAGGAUGGCAGAGGGGGCGAAAAUGAACUGAAUUAUGCAUAGGAUAGAGGAAAAGCAAUUUUGGGAAGUAUGUGCGCAUCCACAAAAUUUGGAGUGGGAUGAGCCAAAACUGACAAUAACUCGAGUGAUUUAAUUUAAGGAUGUCUCACUAUAUAACUACUCAAACUUGGCAUCAUAGAUAGGUUAUAGACGCUUAAAAUCUACUUGCAACUAUUUCUUAAGGGAAUCAAGUAAAAACCCGCCAGCUCUUCUUCAAAUGUGUGUUUUGGCGAAUCGAAAUUUAAUUUGUUUGGAAGUCCCUGCCGUAGAUUGCCCUAAGGAAGCUCCCAUUCUCCUUUUGAUUGUUGCUUUUCUCUUAAUGCUUCAUUGUGACGAUGUUCUUCCCUUAAACCAUGACCAGACAUGUUUCUCAACUGCUACAAUGAAAUUAUAGCCUUCCCCAUAGAAAUCUGAGAAAUGCAACUCCCUCAUUUAAAAAAGUUUUAGACAUGAUGGAAAUACGAGAAAAGCAACUUUCUCCUUAGAAAAGUUUCUUAAAGAAGUUUUAGACAAGAUGGAAAUCUGAGAAAAGCAACAUUCUCUUUUAGAAACGUUUUCGGCGUGAAGUGGGCAACCCUGAGUUACUCAUUACAGUUACAUGAUAUUACCAAGAAUCAAUCAUCUGCAUUCUGCAUUCUGCAUUCUGCAUCACCCUCGCCUGGUUCAUCCAAAGGUCCUAGGGAUGUGAGGUAAGGGAACGAUUCUUCAAGUUCAUGUGAGGAUACAAUCUAUAUAUAAACAGAGGCUAUUCCUUCAUAUGUUCGGUGGAUUAAUUCACAGAUACGGCUUUUGCCCCAUGUAUGUCUUUUUGCAUGUUUGCGCACGUGUGUUAAAACUUUAGAUUGGCCGAUUUGAGCGGCAAGAAUGUUGAGCAUAAAAAUCUCCUAUGUCAGAAUCGAAGAUUUUUGAAGAAUUAUGAGACUCUUAAUGGAUAAACAUAGUGUCAUAGUCCCCGAGGCCUUCUCACAAUGUUAGACAUGAUUGGCUAAGAUCGAUGACCAUGAUUUUCUACCGUACUUUCCCGAGCGAUCAAAGAUACAUCAACAUCAUUCGUUUUCCUUUUCUUUCACAUAUGGACAUGUAUGAACGCGUGACGUUAACUUACAUAGACCAAAAGCAAGUAGCGUCACCACCAAAUGGUCCAUGGAUGUAUCCCCCAAUUCCCCAAACGCUGCAUGUGAACUUCAAAAGCUUCUGCUAUAGUCUUAUUUCGGCCUGCAAAUUACCUAAUUCUUCAGGAGGAUUAUUCAACUUUAUAGAUUGUGUUAAUUUACCUUAGAGAUUACUAAAUAGGGACAUUCACCUUUUUAAUACACGUAGUCCAUUUGAUUAAUCUGAAUUAAUCAAUCUCAUCUUCCCAUCAUAGUGCACACUCGAACGUGGAGUAAAUGCAAGGCUUGCCAUCAUUUUAGUAAAUGCUUCGCCAGGUAAGAUUUCUUUGAUGAAAAACUGUUAAGAAGUAUUUGAAAUUUAGAUUUUAAAUGUCUAUUAAGAUAGUUCCAAGUUUUUUUUUUUAAUUUUUUUAAAGAUAAGUUAUCAAUCAAAUAAAGUGCAAAAAGUUAUAAACUUAUUACAUUUGUGCCAUUUAGUUUUAAAUCUUUUGAUUUAGUACCAAUUUAGUCAUUCUGAGAAAUUUUGUCAAUAUAUUGUUGACGUGGACGUUGUUGGCUUACGUGGCACAGCUAGUACUAACAAGGAUAAUUUUUAUAUAAUUUUUUGGUUUUUUUCUUUUUUUUCUAUCUCUUUUUUCUUUCCAUUCUUCUUCAUUUUGUUGGUGACCGGCCACAUGCAAUGGUUGGGCUGGUUGGCCUUGCCUAGCCAUGGCAAGGCUGAGCCCCAGCGAGGGCUUCCUUGGCAUAAGCCAGGGUUGGCCUCACCUAGGCCAAAUCUGGCGAGGCCAACUUGCCUCGAUGUUGCCUGUGGUUAGUCACCGGCAAAAGGAAGAAGAAAGAACAGACAAAAAGAAAGAAAAAAAUUAGACAAAAUAAUAAAAUAUUAAAAAAUUAUUGUUAGUGCCAGUGAUGCCACGUUAGUCGGCUAGCGUCCAUGUCAACAAUAUCCAACUAAAAUUUAUUGGAAAGACUGAAUUGAUAUCAAACUAGGACUAAAUUGAAACAAAUAUAAUAGACUUAUGAUUAAAUUGAUAUUAAUAAAAUAAGUUUGUGACUUUCUGAUACUUUUCUCCUAUCAAUCAUAGAGUAUCUGUAAUUCAAUUAUUACUUAUUUUAAUAAAUAGAACUUGGAAGAACCUUGCUAGUCGAAAUCUGAGAUUGACAAUUGCUUCCCAACAAUGGCUAGAAAUGGAAAAGAAGAAAGAAAACUACCAUUGACCAUGCAUGUUAGCGAUAAUUUCUAAACAAUGAAUUUGUUUAUCAUAGUUGAAAAGCCCAUUUUGAAAACUUAAACUGAUAGAUGGACAUAAAAGAAAAUGUAAAGUACACACGAAAUAAACUAGGGCACAAUUUGGCUUUGAUAUUUCGUUCAAAGAUUCAACUUAAAAGUUUGAAUUGAUAAUAGAGGGAGAUGACAUAUAUAUAAUGUAGAUAAACCUCACCGUCAAGCAAUAUGAAAUAUUUCAACAGUCAUACUUUGAAAAAAAUUAAGGUUGAAAGUUAACUAAUAAUUUGCUUCAUAUGUCUCGUAAUUAUAAGAAUCAUACAAGCUCCCAUUUGUGGGGGCAAAUGUCGUGGUGAGUAUCAGUCCAGGGUCAACCCUGGACCGACCCUGGACCGGCCCAACCCUGCCAAUCCUAGUCCGGUUCCCAGGAAGACUAAGGCAGUCCUAAGUCCUAAGAUUCAUGGAUCAGCACUGUGCGGAUUAGUUAUCGAUCUUGAGAGUUCAAUGUCGAUCCAACCCGGACCAACCCUGACUAUAUAUAUAAAAUAUUAUUUAUAAUUUUUUUUGGUAAAUUUAUUUAUAAUUUUUUUAUGUAAAGAAAACCUUAAAAUAAAUGGCGUCAACAACAUUAAAUAACUAUUUAGUGAGUAGUUCAAGUAAUUUUACAUUAUUCUUUAAUAAUUUAGACUUUUAAUGUCUUUUACGGUGUUAAUAGUUAUAAUUUACGAAUGAGGAAAAUGUUUUUGUGAGAAGUCCUUACGGUGUCCAAAAUGGCAUAAACAGCUCCUUAUGGCAUCCUCCUUUAGUACUCAUUCUCUUUUAUCUUAUUUGUCUUCUUAGUCUUCAAUUUGCCAAAAUUGAGAGAAACAACUUCUUCGCUUGCCACUCAACACUCGUCUUGCUUGCUGUGGGUCACUCGUGCCGCUCGCCGCUUGAUGCUCGUUUAGCUUGCUCCCCGCUCGACACUCGAUGCUCACUCCGUUCGACGCUCACCCUACUCGACCCUCAUCGCUUGCCUUUCUUAACUGACCUCGCUCGUCAUCGAAUUCAAUGGGUCGGUCCGGUCCUUGGUUACCCUUUUAAGGAGUACAAAAAAUGAAAUAGAAAAUUAUUGAUUGGUCUCGGGUUGACCCUGAACCGGACCAAACCCAUUGGGUCGGUCUGGUCCUCUGUGACAUCCCGAUUUUCUGAUUCUAUUUUCAAUAAAUUGAGACGGGCAUUUCGUUGGCACACAUAUAGUUCUUUUCCUUAAGUCGGCCACUCAUGUGAAAACUAGUCUAUCGGGUGAAGCUGUUAAUAAUUUCUAAUGCAUCAGACUCGAGAAUUUGACCAGAAAGCGAUCUUUCGACUGAGCUAAUCUGCAAAGGUCAUUACGGCACAAUUAAAAAUCGAUUAGAGAUUGGAGAUAGGUCGACUCGAUAGAGGCAUGUGAUCGAGUGUGGGUGAUUCCACCAGAUUGCACAAUUCUUGUCGAUCGGCAUUGGACCGACUUUUCUGUCGAUUGGGUACCCUGUGUUCGUAUUUGAAACCUUGAGAUUACUCCGACAACCGAAAGUCGCCAAUGUUUUAGAGAUGUACAUUGUGGCUUGAGAUGAUCAACCAUAGGUGAAAUGCAUGAAAAUUUCUAAAGGCUACCCGAUAGGUUGGGCCGCGCUAGUAUUGUGUCAAGGUGAAAUUAACCGUGGAAUUGAGAUCGAAUUCAGGAAUUGGAAGUCUGGUGUGUCACAAAUCAUUUUAGGAAUAUUAACUCAUCUUUGGAGGAUUUUUCAUGCAAUCAGAGUUCUUUGGCAAAUUAAAUCCGAGAAUGGCUAUUUUAGCUCGAGAAAUUAGUAGGCCGCUUUUGGUCGCGCUUUUGGGACUUAAGUUGGUUCUACGGACAAGUGAAGAUGUGAAUUGAAAUGUGGUGACAUUGGAUUAAUUUUAUGGACUUCAAUUUGAACUCAAUUGGAAGAGAAUUGAUGGGAAUUGAAGAAAUGUGAUGUACAAGAAUUGGACCUCGGCGGAAAAUGAAAGUGCAACCACUGGAGAAGUUAUGGGAGGGGGUUUGAGUGAGUGGAAGAUGACAUAGGAUGAUGUCAUGGUGGUUGAGGCCAAGGGUUGAGAUCUUGACAAAUGGAGGGUGGAGAUUGGCUCUUGAAAAUGUGAGCUUUCACUUCAUCUUCAACCUUGGGAAGAAAGAGAGAGAGAGAGAGAGGGGGGAAGGAAGGGAGCAGCUCGUGCGUGCAGCAGCCCGACGGAAGCCAGCCGAGCUCGCGCCCGCACGCCCGUUGCCGGAGCUUGCUGUCGUCGCCGCCGCCGCAGCGCGUCUACCCUCGCGUCGCCCGUGUGCCUCGCCGCUCGCCCUACCCGCUCCAUCUCCAUCUUCAUCUUCUUCUUCUUCUUCGAAAGCCCAGCAAACCAGCGAACCAGAGAAGCUUCGUCUGAAGUCACCGCCGCUCGUUGCCGUUGCCGGAGUUGUCGCCCGUCCGCGCCCGCUCGCCCGCACGACCGCCCAGCUUGCCGAUUCCGCCUCUGUUCAGCCGCUGCUCGCGUGUCAAGGACCCUCCAGCGUUGUCGUCCGACUGUCCAGCCGCCCGUUUGUCGUCGCCAAGGCCGCCGGAGGCCCCGCGUAGCCGCCGUGAGCCACUACCCGAGCUACCACCUCCUUCCUCCGCUGUUCCUCCGCCCGAUUAAGCUCGGAUUUGCCCUCCUUCGGCCCCAAGCAGCAGCCAAGAAAAUGGGUAUGGCAGCCCAUGUUUGGCCCGUUUUGGCCGCCUUUCCGAGCCCGGAUGCUCGGCCCGCCUCGAGGAAAGUCGAUCCUCGCGCCGUCCCCGUCGUUUUGGUCCGCUCGGCUCGCUAAUCCGAUGAGUUUAGCUCACUAAACCUCGCUUAGAGGGUUAAUUAUGCUUAGGGAGGUUUAGUUUAUGUUAAGUAUUAUUAGGUUGUUAGUUUAGGUUAUUUAAGAGUAGAUUAGAUUAAGGUGGUGUUUUAAUUUAAAGUGUGCUUAAUUAAAGGUAAGUAGUUUUAUUUAAAAUAAGCCUUGAUUUGACCUAAAUGAAUUUACUUUUGAUUUAUUUGAAUGUCCUGAAAUUAUUAAAUAAUUUAAUAAUAUAUUAUUAUUCGAAAUUAUUAAAAUAUUAUUAUUUAAUUAUUUUCGGAAUAAAUUUAAUUAUUUAUUAAAUUCCAAAAAUUUUGUCAGGACCCUAAAUUCUCAGAAUUUCGUGCCGGUCGCUGCUGUGUAGUCAGUUUUUGAAAUUGAUGAUUGGAUAUUAUAAAUUGAGCGUGGAUCGUGAAAUAUAUGGAUAUUAUUAUUUAAUUAAUUUUCGGAAUAAAUUUAAUUAUUUAAUAAAUUCUGAAAAUUAUUUCAGAACCUUAUUUUCUUAGAAUUUCAUGCUGAUCGCUGCUGUGCAUUUAGAAUUUGAAUUUGAUGAAUGGAUGUGGCAAAUUGAGUGUUGAUUGUGGUAAACAAGGAUUUUAUUCAUAAAAAUCCAAGUGUCGGGUUUUGAUGCAAAAAUUGGAUUUUAAUGAUUAUAUUAAAUAGUGGGGUUUGAAAAAGUGAGAUAUUGGCUUUCUGAUUUGAAAUUAGCGUGUCCCCACACAUGUGAGUAAUUUUUAGAAUAUUUUUAAUAUGAAGAAAAAUGGUCGGGAUCACUAUUUUAAGUGGAAGCAUUGAGUGAAAUAUAAAGUGUCCCGGGGCCGAGUAUGCUUUGGCUGUGUGAUAACUAAGAGGAAUCGUCCUGGGCUGUUGAGCCGGACUUGCCCCUAUAUGGGAUGCCCACGCGGUGGAUGCGGGUCGCAGUUGAUUCUGGGCCCAUGCUCCUUCGGGAACGCCGUCGAUGUACUGACGAAGCCGCGCUCCAAGGGGGGAGGCGAUGCCUGGCUAUAUGUCAGUAGAUAGCCGAACUGCGAGUAGGCUAUGCCCUUGUGUGGCAGUGAAUAACAAUUGGAAUGCAUGUUGAGUGUGGUUGAUGUGCUGGAUUAUAGGACGAAAUUAUGUGGCAUGGAAUGGGACGUGUCAUAACGAUUUAGUCUUAUAAUCAGGACCCCCGCGGUUGUUAGUUAUAUGAAAGAGAAUGCGUUCCGGUUGUUUAAGUUCCUAUUACUAUCUGUGAUUGAGUGAUUUGAAUUGCACUAACCUGCAGGAAGGAACUGAGGCGAGGUAAGUCUUCUAUGUGAUGUGGCUAGGCCACCCGAGGUGUAUUUUCUUUCUAAUAGGGGUUUAGGGGGUUGAACUUGCUGAGACAUCGUCUCAUCCCGGUUGUGGGAUUAAAAUUUCAGGUCCUUGGUGGACGGAGCGACCAGAUAGCUUUGGUUGGCAUUGAGGAGUUGCAGAGGUGAAGUCAUAAGAUUGGAAAACGUGUCCGACUUGUAGGUCAUAGGACAAUUCCUUUUUUAAGAGCCGGUCUUUUGUAGACUUUUGGCCGUAGACCUCUAUUUGUAAUUCUGUUGAAUUAUGAAAGUGUUAUGUUGUGGUUUUGCUUCUUGCUUUUCUAUCCCGUAUUUUAUUGUCAGGGGUUUUAUAAUACAUUUCGCUUGCGCAUUAAUAAAUGAAUGGGGUCGGCGACACUACCUGGGAAUGUCGCAUUUGCAUGACCAUGGUGGGAUGUUGGCGCGCUCGAGGUUUGGGGCGUGACAUCCUCAAUCGCUUUUUCAAGGAGCAUAAAAAAUGAAAUAAAAAAUUAUCGGUUGGUCUCAAGUUGACCCUAGAACCGAACCGAACCCAGUGGAUCGGUUUUGUCUUCGGUCCCAAGCUCAAUAGGAUCGGUCCUCGAUCCCAAAAAUUAAGGACCAUCAUUGUGCGGGUUGGUCCUAAGGUUAGGGGGUGGACCGGCCCAACCCGGACCAUGCUUACCCCUAAAUUAUACAAGCUUCAAAACAAAGGAGGCAUGACGGGAUCAUAUCAUUAGCCACGAGUCUAGGGUCUGCUACAAAAAAAAAAAAAAAAAAAAAGGGACCGUGUCCCACGUGCAAAAUUGACUGAUUACCAACAAAAAGGAAAUUUAUGAACUGUAAGAUCACUUUUGCAUUUACUAAUACGUAAGAACGUAGAGGUAAUUUUACGACGUUGAAACUAAUUUUAUGAACGCAAAAGGAAUUAUGGGUUUGCAUUGUACACAGUUGCGGAUGUCCAUAAAUAAUAAUUUUCGGACUCUGUUUUAAUUGAUUGGGCUUGUUCAUGCAGUCAAACUCGACAUUCUCAACAAUUAGAAACGUUGGUUGAAGACUAAGCAUAAAUGCACUUAUGACACCAUUGCUCGUUUCAAGCAUCUUCCUAACACAGUCCACCUAAGCUAAAUAAUCUUUGCUGAAGAAUAAGGUACUGCGCAUGCUCAAAUAAGAAUAUAAGAAGAGCUUUACAAGUUCACAUGCCGUGUUUAGGAAAUUGGGGAUGCAUCUGAGGACCAUUUGGCGGGGACAUCGUAUUCAUUUGGCCUACAGGUCAAGUUCACGCUUUCAUAUAUGUCCAUAUUCGUAAGAAAAGGACAAAAAUGGUGUUUGAAAUAUCUGUGAUUGUUUGCGAAAUUACCUUAGAGAAUUUUGGUCUUUGAUUAUCGCCAAUCAUGUCUAACAUUGCGUGUAAACAGUCCGGUCGCGGUUUGAGGGAAGAACAUCAUCGCACGGGUUACGAUUCCUCUGCCUUGGAAAGGUGCCUCAAGUGUAGAUUCGCUGCAUCAGUCCUUUUUGAGAAUUAAUUAUAGUCGAAGCGAGCUUAUGACCUUCUCCAUGUCUGCUCAGAGGCCGCUCGUUUCGCAAGAGCUUCUUCGACCUGGAGCCAUUCUUCUCCUCGUUUGCUCCAACACCGGCUCCCAACUCCUUCCCUCCCCUUGACGAGCGGAUCGGUCGCCCAUAACACUUGUACCUGCAUCAAAUUCAUCAUCUUGAAUGACACCAACCGGGACUUGGCGGGACUUCAGGUUGAGGAGCAGUUCAGGGACAUGCCCAUCAUGACCAGUGCCGGAGGAGGUGAAGACAUGGCGGCCGGCAGGUCGUUGGAGGCAGAAGGAUUGGGGCAAGUGAAGGGACGUGGCACUUGGAGAUGGAGGAAGACUCAUUGUCUUGUCUGGACGCCGUGGACGGCCCAAGUCUCGUAGGUGCGUGGGUUUUGACAUAAUGGGUUGGACUAUAGUUUUUUUCAGUCCAUCUUAGCCCAUUUUAGGGGAAAAUAAAUAAAUAAAACGAGUUACUGGUACCAAAUUGGGCUCAUUAAAUUUGAGUCAUAAAAAUGCCGGGGGACGCGAAGGCCUGGCGGCCGGCAGGUCAUCAGAGGCGGAAGGAUCGGGGCAAGAGAGGGGGCGGCAGCACUUGGAGAUGGAGGAAGACUCAUUGUCUCGUCUGGACGGCCUGAGUCUCGUGGAUUUGUGGGUUUUGAAAUAAUGGGCUGGACUAUAGUUUUCUUACUCCAUAUUAGCCCAUUUUGGGAAAAAAAAAAAACAAGUUACUCGUAUCAAAUUAGGCUCAUUAAAUUUGAGUCAUAAAAAUGACGGGAUCAUAUCAUUAGCCACGGGUCUGGAGUCUGCUGUGAGAAAAAAAGUGACCGCAUCCCAGGUGCCAAAGCGGCUGGUUACCAACACAGAUAAUUUAUGAAUCGCAAGAUCAUUUUCGUAUUUACUAGUACUUAAGGACGUAAAGGUAAUUUAAUAACGCUGAAACUAAUUUUAUGAACACAAAAGUAUGACUUACAAACAUCAUUUUGUAGUUAUGAUACAAUAAAGACGUUACUACAAUUAGACCGUGCUAGCAAUUUAUGUGGCUCAAGUCUCCGUUGAGCCUGGACAUCCUUUGAUCAUGCAAAGCAAUCGCACUCUAGUCAUGCAAAACUAGUUGUGGAAUCAUUUCAUUCGUACAAACAUGAAAUUACGUAACCUAGGCACUUUCAAAGAAAUUAUACUCUCAUAUGGUCGUGUUAGGAAGAUGGUUACAAAUGAUAAUAGUACCAUUAGCACAUUAGAUUUGGUCUUCUCAACAUGGUAAUUCCUAAUGAUUUCAAGCUUGUGAAUGGUUUAAGCUCAAUGUGGAGGCAUUAGCCUUGCCAUGCCACCAACGAAUUCUGCCAAAGAGAGUUGAUCUUCAUUUUCUACCAUGAUGGUUGGGAUCUCAACUUUGUCGUCAAGGCUUGCGGCCAUGUAUGGGCCACCGUCGCUGGAUGGGUGGACAAGCUACCUCAUGAGAUGGACGAGACCAGAUCUGGAGGCACAAACGCAUCAAGCUUUGCCAUCAAAGUGGCCAGUGCUGUGUCCAGGCCGAACAUUGUUGCCAUAAAGGGCAAAAUGAAUUGGCGUUGCAAAAAUUCAAAGAUCACAAAACUCAAUGGAAAGUCGCAGUAAGAGAAGCAACUGAAGAUGGAGCCAUAAUGCCACCCACUCACUCACCACAGGCGGUGAUCUCUCUCUCUACUCGUCCACCUUGAGGAUGGCGGGGCUCGCCACCGGGUCCUCCUCCUCGGGGACGUCCCCGCCCAUGUCGUCCAUGUCCAUGUCGUCGUCGUCGUCGUUCUCGACGUUGCUCGAGGCCGGGAACUCGAAGUCGUCGUCCAUGGCGAGCGGCGUCUUCGGGUCGGAUCACGAAACGGAGGAACGAUCGCAAGGGAAGCCAACGCACUUCGGCUCCUCCUCCUUCUUUUUCUUCCCCUUGAUCUUAUUCCACCGAUCCUUACACCACGGGAGGUAGGGUGUAGAUGGCCUCCUUUUCUCAAAGAAAACUUUCUUUUUCUCCUUCAUUUGCUCAUUGUCUCUUCCGAUAUGAUUAAUUCGGAACAUCAUAGUGGGCUUGAGGUCCUGAAGCUUCUGCGGCUUCUUGAACUCACAUCGGAACUUCUCUAGCUCCCUUUCUUUUGCCUCGAGCUCUCGAUCCUUCUGCCUUAUCAUCUCAUCCAUUUUCUUCAACAUAUUCUCCAUCUUUGUCUUCUCAACUUUCAGCUUCUUUAUCAUCUCUUGCAGUUUCUUUUCACGAUUGCUUAUUGGCAUUGUUAGUUGCUUCUUCGAGUUCUCCCUUGGCUUGCUCUUAUUUGGGGUCGUGAUGGAACCUGUCGAAUUAUCCAACUCAACUAUACAAGCUGUUGCAAGCUCUUCUCGUUCCUUCAUUGCAACAGGCGCUUGAAAGUCCCAUUCUUCUUCGCUUUCAAUCUCCUUCUUACAAGAAGUGACGAGAUUUCCUUCUUCAUGCCUAUUCCAACAAAAUCUGGAAAUAUGUCCUACCUUGCCACAAACGUAGCACCGUUUGCUACGCCUUUUGUUGCUCUUAUCUUCACCAUCAUCAUCAUCAUCGCAAUCUUGACGAGCUCCCCCUGACUGAUAACCCUUCUCUUCUAGUUGCCUUCUCCAAUCUCCAUGACUUUUCCACGGUUUGCCAUCUCUUGCACUUGCUCUAUUUCUAUUUUGGCCCUUGAACCCUCUUUUAUUACUAAAGAGGGCACUUUCAUCCUUCUUAAUUGAGACCUUAGGGAUUUGUUUAUCUAAGGCCUCUUGGUUGGCCAAUAUAUUCUCCAACUCUGUUAGAGUUGGCUCAUUUGCCCAUCCACGGGUGGUCGUAACAAUACUGUUAUACUCUGGCCUUAAUCCAUGAAUUAUUAUUCUUCUCAUUCUUGUCUCAGAGAUGGCAUUCUGAGGAUCUAAUUUUGAAAUUUCUUCACAAAUAGAUUUAACUUUAGAAAAGUAUUGACUUACCGUCAUACUUUGUUGCGAGAUUGAGAAGAGCUCGUUCUCCAGGCAUUGUAACUUGGCAUCGUUUGUCCUCGCAAACAGCGUCGCCAAGUUAUCCCAAGCCUCCUUUGGGGUCUUUGCACUCUUUAUGUGUUGCAAUAAUUCAUCAUCAACAGUCACAGCAAGAACGUAAAGAGCCUUACCUGACUUGAUGUUCCACUUUCUUAAAUCACUAUCAUUUGUGGGUGGGGUGGUGUUGUUGCCGCCAACAAUAUCCCAUAAAUCUUGUCCAAGCAAAUAAUACUGCAUGCGAGUACUCCAAUUAUUAUAAUUAAAGUCGUUGAGUUUCUCCAUACCGUUCACCGGACUCGAGAAAUCCACCAUGGUGACUUGAGUAUAAUGCCCCGCACUAUACCAAGUAAGCCUGGUCCCAAACCAACCGACUUCACAAUCCCAGAUUGUGCACUGGCAGAACUCCGAUGUCCUUCGCUUCUUCGCUCCUUGGCUCGACGAUCCCUGACCGCCUUGCUCACUUACAAUGGUCCCCGACCACUGUCUUCGCACGGCCUCCGACGACCUGCUCUGAUACCACUUGUUGAAAAAUCAAGUGAAUGUACAAGUAAAAUAAUCACUUGAUUUUAUAUAAGUAAUAUUGCAAACUCUCUACACAGAACACUCUCAUACACCUCUCUCACCUCACAUGAACACAAUUUCUUGCACACACCCACUCACUCUUUCUCACUCUACACUUCACGCCACCUACUCCCACCCACUCACACACUCACGUACACACCCCACACUUUACGUACACACUCCUCACACUUCUUACACUUCAAGAGACAACAGCCCCUAUUUAUAGGAGCCAAAGUCGGCACAUCCACCGACUUCCCACACCAUCUUCUUCCUAUUAUUUUAUUGCAACUUGGGUCAACAAUUGCGGCUGAGGAAUUGUCUGGAGAGAGGGAGAGAGAUCCGGACGAGUAGAGAGAGAGAUCUGGAGAGUUCUAGGAGAGAGAGGCGGUGAUCUUCAACACAAUUGCUUUAUUUUAUAUAAACAAUAUUACACCACUCUCAUACACCUCUCACACCUCACACGAACACAAUUCUUGCACACACAUCCACUCACUUACUUCAGUCUACACUCACGUCACCUACUCCACCCACUCACUCACUUACGUACACACUCCACUCACAUCACACACUCGGGGACGUCGCAGUAAGAGAAGCUUGGCUUCGUCCUCAAGGUGGACGAGUAGAGAGAGAGAUCACCGCCUGUUUUUUCUCGUACGUGGAUGGCUUUAUGGCUCCAUCUUCAGUUGCUUCUCUUACUGCGACUUUCCAUUGAGUUUUGUGAUCUUUGAAUUUUUGCAACGCCAAUUCAUUUUGCCCUUUAGUCUCAUUUUCCUUCUUCUUACUCAAUUCAGUCUUCGUAUUUAGCAUAUCUCCUCUAAGAAUUUUGAGAUUAGAACUCAUUCGAUCAAGCCUCUCAUUUGUGACUUUCAUUUCGUGCUUCAACCGAUUCAAUCCCAUCCGAAGCACUUCAAUGUAGACCUCUUGAUCCUUUUUCUCAUAAAAUUUCUUCCCCUUGAUCUUAUUCCACUAAUUCUUACACCACGGGAUGUAGGGUGUAGAUGGCCUCCUUUUCUCAAAGAAAACUUUCUUUUUCUCCUUCAUUUGCUCAUUGUCUCUUCCGAUAUGAUUAAUUCGGAACAUCAUAGUGGGCUUGAGGUCCUGAAGCUUCUGCGGCUUCUUGAACUCACAUCGGAACUUCUCUAGCUCCCUUUCUUUUGCCUCGAGCUCUCGAUCCUUCUGCCUUAUCAUCUCAUCCCUUUUCUUCAACAUAUUCUCCAUAUUUGCCUUCUCAACUUUCAACUUCUUUAUCAUAUCUUGCAUCUCAUGCAAUUUCUUUUCAUGACUGCUUGUUGGCAUUGUUAGUUGCUUCUUUGAGUUCUCCCUUGGCUUGCUCUUAUUCGGGGUCGUGAUGGAACCUGUCGAAUUAUCCAACUCAACUAUACAAGCUGUUGCAAGCUCUUCUCGUUCCUUCAUUGCAACAGGCACUUGAAAGUCCCAUUCUUCUUCACUUUCAAUCUCCUUCUUGCAAGAAGUGACGACAUUUCCUUCUUCUCGCCUGUACCAACAGAAUCUGGCAAUAUGUCUUAACUUGCCACAAAUGUAGCACCGUUUGCUAGGCCUUUUGUUGCUCUUAUCUUCGUCGUUGUCGUCGUCACGAUCUUGACGAGCUCCCCCUGGCUGAUAACCCUUCUUUUUGGGUUGCCUCCACCAAUCUCCAUGAUCUUUCCAUGGUUUGCCAUCUCUUGCACCUGCUCUAUUUCUAUUCUGGCCCUUGAACCCUCUUUUAUUACUAAAGAGGGCACUUUCAUCCUCCUUAAUUGAGACCUUAGGGAUUUGUUUAUCUAAGGCCUCUUGAUUGGCCAAUAUAUUUUCCAACUCAGUUAGAGUUGGCUCAUUUGCCCAUCCACGAGUGGCCGUAACAAUACUGUUAUACUCCGGCCUUAACCCACGAAUUAUUAUUAUUCUCAUUCUUGUCUCAGAGAUGGCAUUCUCAGGAUCUAAUUUUGAAAUUUCUUCGCAAAUAGAUUUAACUUUAGAAAAGUAUUGACUUACCGUCAUACUUUGUUGCGAGAUUGAGAGGAGCUCGUUCUCCAGGCAUUGUAACUUGGCAUCGUUUGUCCUUGCAAACAGCGUUGCCAAGUUAUCCCAGGCCUCCUUCGGGGUCUUUGCACUCUUUAUGUGUUGCAAUAAUUCAUCAUCAACAGUCACGGUAAGAACGUAAAGAGCCUUACUUGACUUGAUGUUCCACUUUCUUAAAUCACUAUCAUUUGUGGGUGGUGUGGUGUUGUUGCCGCCAACAAUAUCCCAUAAAUCUUGUCCAAGCAAAUAAUACCGCAUGCGAGUACUUCAAUUAUUAUAAUUAAAGUCAUUGAGCUUCUCCAUCCCGUUCACCAGACUCGAGAAAUCCACCAUGGUGACUUGAGUAUAAUGCCUCGCACUAUACCAAGUAAGCCUGGUCCCAGACCAACCGACUUCACAAUCCCAGAUUGCGCACUGGUAGAACUCCGACGUCCUUCGCUUCUUCGCUCCUUGGCUCGACGAUCCCUGACCGCCUUGCUCAGUCCCCGACCACUGUCUUUGCACGGCCUCUGACGACCUGCUCUGAUACCACUUGUUGAGAAGUAAGUGGAUGUAAAAAUAAUUACUUUUAUUAUAGAACAAUAUUACAACUCUCUAUUUUAUCGUCCUCUCACAACAACUCAUUGUACUUACUUACCCACUCCCUCACAACCUCACACGGACACAACUCUCGCACACACCCACUUACUCUCUAUUUCUCUACACUUCACGCCACCUACUCCACCCACUCACACACUCACGUACACACUUCACUCACGCACACAACACCCCUCACACUUACACUUCAAGAGACAACAGCCCCUAUUUAUAGGAGCCAAAGUCGGCACAUCCACCGACUUCCCACACCAUCUUCUUCCUAUUAUUUUAUUGCAACUUGGGUAAACAAUUGCGGCUUGUUGAAAAAUCAAGUGAAUGUACAAGUAAAAUAAUCACUUGAUUUUAUAUAAGUAAUAUUGCAAACUCUUUACACACACCACUCUCAUACACCUCUCUCACCUCACAUGAACACAAUUUCUUGCACACACCCACUCACUCUUUCUCACUCUACACUUCACGCCACCUACUCCCACCCACUCACACACUCACGUACGUACCCCACACUUUACGUACACACUCCUCACACUUCUUACACUUCAAGAGACAACAGCCCCUAUUUAUAGGAGCCAAAGUCGGCACAUCCACCGACUUCCCACACCAUCUUCUUCCUAUUAUUUUAUUGCAACUUGGGUCAACAAUUGCGGCUGAGGAAUUGUCUGGAGAGAGGGAGAGAGAUCCGGAUGAGUAGAGAGAGAGAUCUGGAGAGUUCUAGGAGAGAGAGGCGGUGAUCUUCAACACUCCCCCUCACCGACUACUCUCUCUUAAUUUAGAUAUAGUAGCCGUUCCGAUAUUGCUUUUGGACUCUUCAACUGUCUUCCUCCAUUCAACAUAUUGCGAAGCUUCCUCAUAUGUGGAUGACUCUAUGGCUCCAUCUUCAGUUGCUUCUCUUGCUACAACUUUCCAUUGAGCUUUGUGAUCCUUAAACUUUUGCAAUGCCAAUUCAUUCUGCCCUUUGGUCUCCUUUUCCUUCUUCUUACUCAAUUCGGUCUUUGUAUUCAACAUAUCUCCUCUAAGAAUUUUGAGAUUGGAACUCACCUGGUCAACCCUCUCAUUCGUGACUUUCAUUUCGUGCUUCAACCGAUUCAGUCCCAUCCGAAGCACUUCAAUGUAGACCUCUUGAUCCUUUUUCGCAUAAAAUUUCUUCCCUUUGAUCUUAUUCCACCAAUCCUUACACCACCGGAUGUAGGGUGUAGAUGGCCUCCUUUUCUCAAGGAAAACUUUCUUUUUCUCCUUUCAUUUGCUUAUUGUCUCUUCCGAUAUGAUUAAUUCGGAACAUCAUAGCGGGCUUGAGAUCCUGAAACUUCUGCAGCUUCUUGAACUCACAUCGAAACUUCUCUAGCUCCCUUUCUUUUGCCUCGAGCUCUCCAUCCUUUUGCCUUAUCAUCUCAUCCCUUUUCUUCAACAUAUUCUCCAUCUUUGCCUUCUCAACUUUCAGCUUUUUUAUCAUAUCUUGCAUCUCAUACAAUUUCUUUUCACGAUUGUUUGUUGGCAUUUGCUUCUUCAAGUUCUCCCUUGGCUUGCUCUUAUUCGGGAUCGUGAUAGAACCUGUCGAAUUAUCCAACUCAACUAUACAAGCUGUUGCAAGCUCUUCUCGUUCCUUCACUGCAACAGGCGCUUGAAAGUCCCAUUCUUCUUCGCUUUCAAUCUCCUUCUUGCAGGAAGUGACGACAUUUCCUUCUUCUCGCUUGUACCAAAAGAAUCUGGCAAUAUGUCCUACCUUGCCACAAACGUAGCACUGUUUGCUACGCCUUUUGUUGCUCUUAUCUUCGUCGUUGUCGUCGUCACGAUCUUGACGAGCUCCCCCUGGCUUAUAACCCUUCUCUUCUGGUUGCCUUCGCCAAUCUCCAUGAUUUUUCCAUGGUUUGCCAUCUCUUGCACCUGCUCUAUUUCUAUUCUGGCUCUUGAACCCUCUUUUAUUACUGAAGAGGGCACUUUCAUUCUCCUUAAUUGAGACCUUAGAGAUUUGUUUAUCUAAGGCCUCUUGAUUGGCCAAUAUAUUUUCCAACUCAGUUAGAGUUGGCUCAUUUGCCCAUCCUCGGGUGGCCGUAACGAUACUGUUAUACUCCGGCCUUAACCCAUGAAUUAUUAUUCUUCUCAUUCUUGUCUCAGAGAUGGCAUUUUGAGGAACUAAUUUUGAAAUUUCUUCGCAAAUAGAUUUAACUUUAGAAAAGUAUUGACUUACCGUCAUACUUUGUUGCGAGAUUGAGAGGAGCUCGUUCUCCAGGCAUUGUAACUUGGCAUCAUUUGUCCUCGCAAACAGCUUGCCAAGUUAUCCCAGGCCUCCUUCGGGGUCUUCGCACUUUUUAUGUGUUGCAAUAAUUCAUCAUCAACAGUCACGGCAAGAACGUAAAGAGCCUUACCUGACUUGACGUUCCACUUUCUUAAAUCACUAUCAUUUGUGGGUGGUGUGGUGUUGUUGCCGCCAACUAUAUCCCAUAAAUCUUGUCCAAGCAAAUAAUACUGCAUGCGGGUACUCCAAUUAUUAUAAUUAAAGUCAUUGAGCUUCUCCAUCCCAUUCACCAGAAUCGAGAAAUCCACCAUGGUGACUUGAGUAUAAUGCCCCGCACUAUACCAAGUAAGCCUGGUCCCAGACCAACCGACUUCACAAUCCCAGAUUGUGCACUGGUAGAAUUCCGACGUCCUUCUCUCCUUCGCUCCUUGGCUCGACAAUCCCUGACCGCCUUGCUCACUUACAAUGGUCCCCGACCACUGUCUUCGCACGGCCUCUAACGACCUACUCUGAUACCACUUGUUGAAAAAUCAAGUGAAUGUACAAGUAAAAUAAUCACUUGAUUUUAUAUAAGUAAUAUUGCAAACUCUUUACACACACCACUCUCAUACACCUCUCUCACCUCACAUGAACACAAUUUCUUGCACACACCCACUCACGCUUUCUCACUCUACACUUCACGCCACCUACUCCCACCCACUCACACACUCACGUACACACCCCACACUUUACGUACACACUCCUCACACUUCUUACACUUCAAGAGACAACAGCCCCUAUUUAUAGGAGCCAAAGUCGGCACAUCCACCGACUUCCCACACCAUCUUCUUCCUAUUAUUUUAUUGCAACUUGGGUCAACAAUUGCGGCUGAGGAAUUGUCUGGAGAGAGGGAGAGAGAUCCGGACGAGUAGAGAGAGAGAUCUGGAGAGUUCUAGGAGAGAGAGGCGGUGAUCUUCAACAUACCCCUCCGUAGUCAUAAUGGCUGGCUCCAUCUAGAAUGCAGGCAGUAAUUUUGUCAUAUCAGCUGCUGACGUAAUACUUCGAACGUAUGUCAAUUUGUAAGUGAAUCUAAAUGAUCGAAUAUCUUUUAUAAUCAUCUCAUUUAGAUGAAGAUGCCUCGGAUGUUUCUGGACACAAACGCUUGGACAAAUGUCGCUCAUGGCUCUAUGGACGUAGUCAAACUCGGCAACCCAGAUCGGUUGCAGACAUUUCGAAUCUACUUACAACUAGUUCUUUGGAGAAUCGAGAAGGAACCCGCAAUCUCUUCUUUCAACUUUGUCCCUGUCCUUUACUUGCGAAUAUGGACAUAUAUGAACCCAUGAACUUGACCUACACAGACUAAAUGCAUACAAUCUCCCCAUCAAAUCAUCCCUAGAUGCAUCCCCCAAUUUCCUAAACACGGCAGGCCAACUUGAAAAGCUCCUUCUAUAGUCUUAUUUGAGCCUGCUCAUUCCCUUAUUCUUCAGCUAAGAUUAUUCAACUUGAUGGAUUGUGGUAGGAAAGAUGCUUGAAAUGAGCAACAGCGUCAUAAGUGCAUUUACGCUUAGUCUUUCAACCGACAUAGUUGCUAAUGAUUCCGAGCUAGCAAAUAAUUUAAGCACAAUGAGCAAGCAGCAGUCUUGCUUUACAUUCGAUUUGCCCAUUUUUGUUCCGGUGAAAUUUGUGAUCCAUUUCAUGAACCAUCCAGAUUUCUCCAGCGGCUGUCCAACUGGCAAUUUGGUAACUACGUCGAGAGCAAGUAAGUUGAGAAAUUCACAGCUGUCCAAGAUUGAAGAAGAGAAGACAAAAACUACAGCUGGACGUCUAAGGUGGCUAACAUCUGGAAGACUCUCCCUUCAGCAACGAGUGAUUUGACAAAAAAAAUCAAAAUAAAAUUGUCCCACUUGUAGUAUAAAGUCAUAGGACAGAAAAAAUCCUGUAAAACAAGUCAGCUUUUCUGUAAGACAUGAACGAAAUAAAAAAAAUAAAAAUCAAUCCAUAACGUUUACGUCAGCUUUUCUAUUUGAAUGCGUUUCGGUUUAAAAAAAGAUUGCUUUUUGGACGAUCCUCUAAAAUAGAGAGUGGGGUAUUCUAACGAUAUUUAGUGACUUCAUCCUCUAUUUCCAUUUGAGACACUCCUUAGCAAAAGUAUUUUGCUUCCACCGGGCUAAAAGAAUGCCCUAUUGAGUUUCUUCCUGGAUAGAAAGAGCAAGAAAACCAAAUCCUGUAACAAAAUUAAGCACAUUACAUACUCAGAUCACUUGCACGACUGAUGUAAAAGUUUUGUUGGCAUGUAAUCUUUUUGAUUUUGGAUGUCCAUUCCGACCACUCCCCCAUGCUUAGUUUGAUCUUUUUUUUUUUUUUGAUGACCCGGGAACCCCCGUACAGCCGGCAGCCGGCGGGGUAAACCCGGGGCGAACUGAGCCGUCACCACAAACCCAGCCGCAAGUGAGUCGCGCAAUGGACACGCGGGGUUUCGAACCCCUCCCUCCUCGGUGGGGGAGAAAGCUUUAAUCAUCGCGGCCACUAUAGGCGGUGAUCUUAGUCUAAUCUUUUACUCAUAACUAUGCAUGCAAAUUUAAUUGGAAAGGCAAAUGGGACUUAGUAAGAUUCGAACUUAGGGCCUUCAGCUUUGAUACUUGUAACAAUUUUGUGGGAUUACUGCUGACUGUUCUAAAAGUUUAAGCCGUUAAAUGAAGACGUGAUUUAAUAUUUAAUUAUUCUAACAGUAUUAGUGAUCAUUUUCUAAACCAUGCUUUUGUUGAUCAUGAUUUUAAAUUACCAAUAUGAUGGUCCUUUGUGGGACAGGUAUGAGUUAGUGACAUAAUAUUUGUAAAAAAAUGUGAAGUUGAAAGUUAACUUAAGGUUUGCUUCUUGAGUCUUAUAAAAAUCUAAGAAAAACACAAGCUCCUCUAUGUGGGGGCAAACGUAUAAUACGAGCUUCUUAGCGAAGGAAAAACGACGGUGUUUCAUCAUUAAUCACUGGUCUAGGAUCCCGUAUGAUAAAAAAAGGAGACGUCGCCGCGUGUGCAAAUCACUUGUAAUUUACUUUGAUAGGAGGCAAUAUACGCAUAAAAAAAAAUGUAAGAUAGCUUUAACAUUUACAAAUACUUACCAAUGUAAAAUAAUUUAACUGCAACGGAAUUAGUAUUACGAACACAAACACUUGACUUACGAACACCAUUUUGAAUUUAUGAUACAAUAAGGUAUAUUACUAUGAUUAGACUUUGUUAGCGAUUUACUAAGAAUGGGUAUAAUUAAGGUCGUCAAGGAUUAGCACUCACUCAAUUUACUAAUUAGAAGGAAAAUUACUAUUUAAGAGAUGCAUUACAUCUUAUGGGGUAAAUUACUACUUUGAAUUACUUUCUAUAAGACUUAUUAUUGUCUUAAGAGAUGUUACUACUUUGAAGGUAAAUCACUCAUUUUGUCUCUUGUAAUUAUCUAUUGAUAAUGAUUGGUAGUUCAUUAUGGUUAAUUUAUUUCAAUCGUUAAUGGUCCCUUUAUACUUCAUAACUUGAUGAUGAUAUUACUAAGUAUUCCUACCAUAGUGUAAUUUCCCUCAAGAGGUCAUUCCUUGUAGUUACCCGCGUUAGUAAUUACACCUCCAACAAUUGUAAUUUGCCUCAAAUCGUUGUGAUCUCAAUUGCACCUCUAGCGAGUACUUUCCUUUUUCGCAUAGUAACUUAGCUUAUAGUUCAUAACAAGAAAUUCCUAUCUCUUAGCUUGAGUGAAAAUAAUCUACCUUUGGAGACAGUAAAUUACCUCAAGUUAUCCUAAGCUCGAUAAGUUGUGAAUUGGCGGGUUUGAGAGAGUUCGGGCUAAGCCUAAUAGACUUAACAAGCCAUUACUCUCCGCAGACGCCCGUGUGAUAGGGCGCUGAAAAAGAGGUCGCGACAACGUUCAACGACACUACGGGCUGCAUCAGGUCUCACUUGAACCAAGCAUUCCAAAAUAUCCACAUGCCCUUUCAUGGCUGUGACGUGAAGAGGGUUUCUUUUGUAUUUGUCAUGGAUUAAACAUGCCUCAGGGUUGACUCUUAACAAGCUUGCCAAGGUAUCCUUUUGCUGCCGCAAGAUGAAGAGGCAUCAAACUUUGACAAUCCCGCUCUCUUGCCAGCUCGGCCUUUCAAGCUAAAACCUCUUCCACGAAAUCCAAGUGUCCGAGCAUGGCUGCGAAGUGCAGAGGAGUCUUGGUGUGAUUCCCGGUCAUGAUUCCAGCGAGAAGUAGCUUAUCUUUUCUGAGCAACUCAAGUAAUAAACGCACAUUUCCUUCCACGGCGGCUUCAUAGAGCUUGGACUCCAUGUUUGGGUCUCUAAAAUGGGAGUUUCGGAAUACUCACUCCUCCAUUUGGAGACUUGAAUAUAUAUCGUCACAACCAAGUGAAUCUUCAUAGUAGGCUUGACGAAGUCCGAAAAAUGAUUAGUAGAUUUUUCAUCUGCAAGUAUGUGGCUCAGUUCCCCCGAAUGUCCAUGGAGGGUGUGUUGGGAUAUACCUGGCGGCCAUUUUCUGGCGAGUCUCGUCUCAUUUGGUCCUAUAGUGGUCAACUGGAUGCUCCACUGAAACAAGCACUCAAUAAAACACUCUUCUCUGUUCUCUCUCUACGUCGCUUUAUUCACCACACGCUCGCACAUGGAGCACCUUCUCCAUUUAAAGGAUGCAAGUCGGUGCAUCCCAGCUUUCCACACUUUUCCAAUACAAAAUAUCUCCUAAACUAAUUCAUCACAUUGCAACUUGCUUUGGCUUAUCGGAAGAGGCGGUGAGAAAGGGAAAAAUCUGGAGAGAAGGUAAAAUAUGGAAGAAGGGAGAGAGAUAUCUGGAAAAUGGAAGAGGGAGAGGCGAUGCUUCUCAACAUGUCCCCUUGGAGACUUGACGUCCUUUGAAAUUCGCUGCUGUCACAAUGCUUCAUUGCGACAUGUUCUUCCCUCAAACAACGACCAGCCAUUUUUCACACAAUUUAAGACAUGAUUGGCUAAGACCAAAUACCAUAAUUCUCUGCGAUAAUUUCACCGAAUAAUCAGGGAUAUAUCAACACCGGUCCUUACCUUCCCUUACAAAUAUGGACAUAUAUGAACGCGUGAACUUGACUUACAUAGACCAAAUGCAGACAGUGUCACCACCAAUUGGUCCCAGGUGUCUCCCCCAAUUCCCUAAACACGACAUGUCAACUUCAAAAGCUCCUGUUUUAGUCUUAUUUGAGCCUGCACAAUAUCUUAUUCUUCGGCUCAGAUCAUUCAACUUUAUGGAUUGUAUUAGGAAGAUGCUUGAAACGAGCAAGUUUCAUAAGUGCAUUUAUGAUUAGUCUUUCCGCCAAAAUAGUCACAAAUGAUUUUUAGCUAGCAAAUAAUUUAAGCACAAUGAGCAAGCAGCAGUCUGGCUACACAUUUCAUGGCCCAUUUUUGUUCAAACACCAAUGUGCUUUUAUGCAAAGAUUAAUUUACUUUGAAGGUAUCAGCAAAAACAAAAUGAUCAUAAAUUGGAGAAGGGAAAGCCAAAAAUAGUCCGAAUCAAUAUCACCUGUUGAGUUUCUUCCCAGAAAGAAAGAACAAGAAAACCAAAUCAUGCGGCAAAAUAAAGUAUGUUACAUGCUCAGAUCACUUGCUCCACUGCAUUCAGAGAUCAUGGCAAUGAAUUCGUGAGAAAGUUUCGACUCUUCCUCGCACGACUAAUGUAGAAAAAUUGUUGGCACGUAAUCAUUUUAUCUGGACAUUCAAUCAAUAACUUAGUAUUUUGUGAAAGCGAAUCUUAAUUUGUUUGAAAGUCCUUGCCAUAAACUGCCCUCAUGAACACAAAACAUCUGCUUCGGUAAUUCUACGUUCUAGGAUUUUCUACUUUGGUCUUAAGCUUAUUGGGGGCGAUUCUAGGGUCCCAUAUGGAAGAAGGGACCUUCAUUCCGUGUGCAAAAUUGACUGGCUAUAGCCAUUUAAUUUUUAGUUUACUUUGGUUGUAGAUGAUUUUGCCAAUUCAAAAGGGAAAUUAUGAAUUAUAAGAUAAAGUUUGCAUUUGCAAAUAACUACAAACAUAGAGGUAAUUUAAUGACGUUAGAACUAAUUUUAUGAACACAACAUAUACUUACAAACAUCAUGUGGCACUUAUGAUACAAUAAGGUAUAUUAUUAUAGGCUUUGUUAAAAAUUUACUAGGAAUUGACCAAAAAAAAAAAACCAAUUUGCUAAGAAUGAGUAUAAUUGAGACCAUCAAGGAUUAGCACUCAUUCAUUUUACUAAUUAUAAGGGAAAUUAAUACUUCAAAAGGUACAUUAUUUCUUAUAGGGUAAAUUACUAUUCUGAAUUUCUUCCUAUAAAGUAGAACAUUGUCUUAAGAUAUGUUACUACUCUGAAGGUAAAUUACACGUUUUGUAACAUGAGAAUGCUUACACUUAGUAAUUUUCUUAUAACAUAGUAAAUUACUUCAAGCCAUCGCAUGUGAUAUAUUACUUGGUAGUUGACCUAAAGCCAUGGUGAAUCGGCUGAACUCCUCACAAUUCAUUCGCUUAUGGUUCGUAAAAUUUUAUAAAAAAUAGAAACAUUCCUUCACAGUUCGUAAGUUGGGGAUGUUUUCACUAGUAACUAUAUUGUAAAUUUAUUUAUACAGUCAUGGUUGGUAGUUCAUUAUUGUUAGUAUUUUUCCAGUAUUAAUCAUAUUUCAUAACUCGAUAAUGGAAUUACUAAGUAAUUGUCCCACCAUGGUCUAAUUUUCCAUGACAUGUCAUAACUUGUAGUUCCUAUCCUUAAUAAUUAUAUCUCCGACAAUUGUAAUUUGCUUGAAAUCGUCGUGAUCUCAAUUGUACCAGUAGUUUGUACGUUCCUCUUCUGCGUAAUUUAGCUAUAUAGUUCGUAACAAGAAUGCUUUGAUGGUAAAUUUCCAUCUUAAAAGAUGUUACUACUUUGAUGGUAAGUUAUUUAUUUUGUAACAUGGAAAUGCUUACGCCUAAUAAUUUCCUUAUAACAUUCCCUCAAACCAUGGGGUGUGACAUAUUACUUGGUAAAUGAUCUAAAGCUAUGGUAAAUUGUUUAUACUCCUCAUACUCUUGUUGCACUUGUUCAUAAAAUUGUAUUCAAAUAGUGACAUUCAUAUACACCACUUAAAUUAGGGAUGUUGUACUAGUUAUUCGGUAAUUUCAUAAUUUUCUUCAAUUAGUCAAAAUUGGUAGUUCAUUGUUUUCUUUUGUUUUAGUAUUUUUCAAUUAUUAACAAUAACUUCCUUUUUUUUUUACCAAAAAAAACAAUAACUUCCUUUUAUACUUCAUAACUCGACCGGUCAUAAUCCGUAGUUCCUGUUCCGUAUUAUUAUACCUCUAAUAAUUAUAAUUUACCUAAAAUUGCCACGAUCUUAGUUGCACGUCUAGUUUGCUCUUUCCUCUUUUUGUGUGGCAAUUGAGCUAUAUAGUUCAAAACAAGAAUUCCUAUCACUUACCAGUUAACUAAUGGGAUGGUAAGGUACUUGAAAUUGUCAUAAGAGACACAUCUUAAAAUUAAUAAUUGACCACGAUAAUCGUAAGUCUUUCACAAGUCCAUGCAAAUGGUAGUUAGUAAUCUGCGUUUCUUAAUAGUAAAUUUACUCAAGUUAUCGUAAGCUCAUAGGUCUAAAUGAUCGUAAUUUUUAUCGAUAAAUCUUAGCAACCUAAAGUUUACUUUCUAUUUCCCUUUUCUUAGUAAAUCUACUUAAAUAAUCCUUUAAAUUCAUAAUCAAUGGAUCCUAUCCAUAUAUAAUAGUCCUUUUGAUUGUCGUGAUUUUCCUCAAUUAAUCGUAAAAUUUACAAUUCCUCCUGAACAAACUUCCUUAGUUGUCUAUAAAUUACCGCUUCAACUGAUGCCACGGCUGAGAAUUUUUGGCUUCAAAUCCAAUAGGUCAUAUUCUCUUUUACUUAACCGCCACAAAUCAAAUCAAAUGAAACAGACAUCCAUUAUACAUCUAAACUCCGUCUUUCACAGGGAUUCAACACGCAUAAAACAUCCAUUGUUUCCACUAGCAGAUACACAUGCAUGCUAUCGUAGCUAAGUUGUCUAAUCACCACACUGAACAACACAUACUGCAUAGCAUCUCCUCUUGCAUGGCUUUUGGGCUCAGGGCACUUCUCCUAUAAGAUCCCUCCUGCUGCGGACGAAUUUCAGGACUUUGGGUACCAACUUCACGAUCAAGUGAACAACGUGGCACAGGCAAAUAAUAGCCAUUAAUCCAUACCAUGCCAGCGUCGAAUUUCUAUUUAUUUCAGUUGAAAUACUCAAGGAGUUAGCCGGUGUGACGACCCAUAUGGUGAUGAUAUAAGUCAACCCUGUGAAGGUUAUCGCAACCCACAUAAUCAGCAUUGCAAUCCAUGUGGUAAGCCGACGCCGCUUUAGAGGAAGACCACUUAUAAGAAGCAUAAUGGUGCUAAGCGAUGCGAUGAAACUUAUCGUGUUACAUAUUAGGAAAAAAUGGUAUAGGUCCGGGUAAUUAUCUGCGAAUAUGGACUCGCCCGCACAGUGCCUUUCACCAUUCAUAUUGCUCGGGGAAUCUGCUGGCGAAAUGCCACGAGAUGGGGUAAUACUGGCUGCACCAUAUGUUCUAUCAUUGUUCGGCAAAUCCUCUUCCCAAAGGCCACCGGGCGGGGUAAGAGUGGCUUCGUAUGACACGGUAGCUAGCAAUGUCGCUACCACCAAUAGAGUCUGAUGCAUUUUGUCUUGCCAUUCUAUCUUUCUUUUCCUUUUUUCCUCUUUCCUUUCUUCCUCUUCUCCUAUAGGUGGAUGGAAGGUCGUGACCGUGUCAUUGGUGUGGACUGUUCGUCCGGAUGAGUUUUGAUCCUCUGAAAUUUGAGGAACAUAAUCCCUAACCUCUGAGGCUCUUCCUGCGCUUUUGCCUUGUGCUAAUAGACUGACUGCUGUGAAACCUCUGGAGUUCAUAAUGUUCGGGUUCACUCCUUUAUUAAUCAAGAAGACUAUAGUCUGCAGAGAAGUAACAAUAGAAUGUAGCAGUUGGGAUCAGGUUUGAACUAAGCACGCCCAUGUUACAUCCAUUUCAGGAUCAACUUUGGCACCAGUGUUUUUUUUAGUCCCGUAGUGUUGGUGACUAUUACUUGACACCUUCACAAGGGAAACCCAUCCCUUAUUGAAUCUCUUCUGCUACCUCUAGCUUUAUGUUCCGUCUAAUCUAGAUAAAAUUAGCAUGAAAAUAGCGCAAAGUAUAAAGUCGUAGUUGAUUAUCUUGACUAGUUAAUUCUUUUCCAAAUAUCAUAACCUUCGAUGUAAAAAUUCUUAGCUACCAAAAAUUGAUAGGACACCUAGGUAUCAUAGAUGGGAAAAUAACACAAAUAGUCCAUUAAUUUUAAUUCAAUGUGCAAUGUCAUCUUUAUACUUUUCAUCAUUCAAUGCGGUCCUUGAACUAUUUUUAAAUAUUCAAUUUAGUCCCUAAACUUUCAAGUUGUUUAAUCUAGUCUCUCAUUUACCCAUAAAAAAAGUAAAAAGUUUUCAUAAUUAAGAUAUUGCUUUGAAAAUUCUCUUUCUUUUAGAAAAUUCUCUUAUUUCAAUUUUUUUCCUAAAUCAACAAAAAAAUGACUAUCUUUUAUUACUUUUUCACCUUUUUGACAUUUAUAAAUAUUACGAUAGUUCUAUUUGCUCAUAUUUUAACUUAUGAUCUCUAUAGUAACAAAAGUAAAAUCUCAUUAAAGUUGUAUUGGGCUGAUAUUUCUAUUAUUUAAUUUCCUAAUUUAUAGAUUUAACUAAAUUUAUUGAGAAAACACGAAACACAAAACCUUGAAUUUUUAAUCUAUCUAAAAAUUAGGAAUGAGUUUAGAUUAAUAUAAGUACGAGAAAGUCUAUAAAUAUACAAAUAUUGUUGUUAAAUACUCUUAUGAGAAUACUUAUUUUAAAGUUGAAAGGAUUAUGUAUCCAAUAUAACUCUAACAUUUUUCCAUUAUAGAGAUUAUAAGUUAAAUACACUUAAAUGGAACUAUAGUUAUAUUUGUAAAAAUAAAAAAGGUAAAAAGAUAAUAAAAGGAAAAUAUUUUUUUUAUUUGGGAAAUUGAUUGAAAUAAAAGAUAUUCUAAAAUUUGGGCAAUGGUGCAAUUGUGAAAACUUAUAAUAGUAUCAAAUGGCUUAUUUGACUUUGGUGUGGAAAGCUAAGAGACUAGAUCAAACAAAUUAAAAAUUUAGAAACUAGAUCAAGUGUUUAUGAAUUGUUUAAGGACCACACGGAUAAACUAAAAAUCCAAAAAUGACAUUGCAUAUUGAACCAAAGUUUAAGGGCUAUUUGAAUUAUUUUCUCAUCCUAGAACCACCUCUUUUGUUGAUAAGCUCACUAAAUUUGACUAGUGCAUAGAGUUGAUUGUAUGAACAUACCUCAGCUUGUCUAUCUGCAAUAGCCAAAUGCAAAAUUGUGUUGCCAUCUUCAUCCCUCGAAUUGAUGAACUGUUCAUUGCCCAAGAUAUCUAUCAAAAGCUUCAAAGCUUCUAGUCUGUUAUGCUUCACACAUAAAUGUAGGAUCGUCUGGCCAUGUUCAAUGACACUAUGGGCGGCAUCAGGUCUUGCUCCAACCAAGUUUUCCAACACAUUCACAUGCCCUUUCAUGGCUGCAACAUGAAGAGGAUUUCUUUUGUAUUUGUCACAGUAGGAACAUGUAUCAGGGUAGGCUCUUACCAAGCUUUCCACUAUGUUAAGGUACCCUUUUGCUGCGGCAAGAUGAAGAGGCGUCGAACCCUGAGAAUCUUGCACACUUGCCAUCUCGGCCUUCUGAGCUAGGAUCUCUUUCACGAAAUCCAAGUGUCCAAGCAUGGCUGCGAUGUGCAGAGGAGUCUCGGUGUGAUUCCCAGUCAUGACUCUGUCAAGAAGUAGUUUAUCCGUUUUUAGCAACUCAAGCAAAGAAGGCACAUUUCCUUUGACAGCGGCUUCAUAGAGCUCAGACUCCAUGUUUGGAUCUUCAAAAAGAGGAUUUCAAAAUACUACCUCCUCCAUUGGGAGACUUAAAUAAUAUUGUCACAACCAAGUAAACCAUCUCAAUAGUCUUUGACGAAAAACGAACGGUAGAUAUGUCUUGACUGCAAGUAUGUGACUCAAGUCUCGCAUAUGUCUUAGUACGUCAGAUAAAGUUUACUCUUGAAGCUUUAUUGUGGAUAAGGAUUCCUCUGUUGGUCAUUUUCUGGCGGGUCUCGUCCCCAUUUGGUCCUAUAUAGCUCAAGUUUGCACAUGUAACAUGGCCCGAUUGAGCCAUGACAUCCUUGGAUCAUGUAAAGCAGCCACGCUCUAUCCACGCAAAUUAUUGUGGAAUCACUUCAUUUGCACAAACAUGUAUAUUUUGUUAGGAUAUGAAUUUCAUCCAUAUGUGAGAAAUAAUUUUUGCACUAACGCUCACUCAAUCGGAAUGAGCUAUAACCUAUUCACUCCUAGACAAAUUAUUCUGCCAUACGGGUGUGUUGGGAUAAUAAUUACAGAUGAGCAAUAGGAUCUCAUAGGAUCAUUGUCCCAUUCAGAGAUUCGGGUACGUAUGGCUCUAUAAAAUGCCGUACGCGGGAGCACGUGGCCCCGCUGCCAAUGGACGUCCGGCCAGCUGCUCCGGUCACGUCGGCCCCCUGCCCCGGUCAUGUCACUCUGCUCUGCUCCACUGCUCCUCUGCGCUGUCUGCCAUCGAUGUGGGGAUUCGCCUGUCGGCCAUUUUUUGCCGAGGCUCAUCUAUAUUUUGUCCUAUAUAGGUAGACUUAGAUUUCCCACUGGAGCCAUGACGUGCUUUUGAUGAUGUAAAGCAGCCCAUCCUAUUCGUGCAAAUUGUCGUAAACAUGAAUUAUUUGAAAAGACAUGAAUUUCAUUGAUUUAUCAAAAAUAAUUUUUGCGCUUAUGCUCGAUCAAUUGGAAUGAAUCAUGACCUAGGAACUUUCAUAGAAAUUAUUCUACCAUAUGGGUGUGUUAGGAAAAUAGAAACAAAUGAGCAAUAAUAUCACUAGCACAUUAGAAGUUGGCUUUCUCACCAUGGUAAUCCCAAGUGAUUUCAAGCUUGCAAAUAGUUUAAGCUCAACGUGGAGGCAUCAGCCUUGCUAUACCUCCAAAAUGCCGCCAAAGGGUUACUCUCUCUUUCUUCCAUUAAAAAUUUCAAAGAUUGAAGGACCAUAAAUUCCCGAUUGAUUUGAUCAGUCACGAAAGUCCUCAAUAGUACAAGGCAGGGAAAUAAAUCACAGAGAAUAUAUACCCCUACCACCGCAGGAAUGGUUUUCUUGUUUAAAUGAAGAAGCCCAGGAUGAUUGUGUACACAAACACUUGGACAAAUGUUGCUCACGACUCUAUAUGUAACAAUUCGGUCCAAUGAGGGCGGAGAAUAGUCGCCAAGCUAGAGGUUUUGAACAAGAAGCGGCUCUUGGCAUACUUCUAAGAUGGUGAAGAGGGCAAAUAUGAGCUGAAUUGUGCAUUAAAUAGGAGCAAAGCGAUUAUGGGAUAUAUAUGUUAAAAUUGGAUGGCAAGUUUUAAUUUGGAACUCCAAAGUUAAACAUGUUCAAGUUAGAAUGUUACUAGGAUGUGUGACUUCUUGAAAAAGUAAAUGUCCGUAUGUUAAAGGACAAAUUGUAAGAUUCACUAUGGUACGGUAAAAAAAAAAGAUAAUACUUCGAGCGAGUUAAUUCAAGGAUGUUAUAAUAUGGUAUUAGGGUGGAACUCUCUCCAAUAGAUAUAUGGUUCGGGGACAAACCACACAAAAGUUGGUGGGCCCAUAAUGACUCCGUCUGAUGAGAGUGGGGAGUAGUCGCCAAAACAAAGGGCUCAGAUAAUGAGUGGCUUGUGGUAGGUUUUUAGGAUGGCAGAGGGGGCGAAAAUGAAUCGAACUAUGCAUUGAUCCAAGGAAAAGCAAUUUUGGGAAGUAUAUGCACGCAAGCGAAAUUUGGAGUGGGACAAGCAAAACAAACAAUAACUGAAGUGAUUUAAAUCAUAGAUAGGUUAUAGACACUUCAAAUCUACUUGCAACUAUUUCUUAAGGGAAUCAAGAAGAAACCUGCAAGCUCUUCUUCAAAUGUGUGUUUUGGCAAAUCGAAAUUUAAUUUGUUUGGAAGUCUCUGCCGUAGAUUGCCCUAAGGAAGCUCCCAUUCUCCUUUUGAUUGUCGCUUUUCUCUUGAUGCUUCACUGUGACGAUGUUCUUCCCUUAAACCAUGACCAGACAUUUUUCUCAACUGCUAUAAUGAAAUUAUAGCCUUCCCCAUAGAAAUCUGAGAAAUGCAACUCCCUCAUUUAAAAAAGUUUUAGACAAGAUGGAAGUCUGAGAAAAGCGACAUUCUCUUUUAGAAACGUUUUUGGCGCGAAGUGGGCAACCCUGAGUUACUCAUUACAGUUACUUGAUAUUACCGAGAAUCAAUCAUGUGCAUUCUGCAUCACCCUUGCCUGGUUCAUCCAAAGGUCCUAGGGAUGUGAGGUAAGGGAACGAUUCUUCAAGUUCGUGUGAGGAUACAAUCUAUAUAUAAACAGAGGCUAUUCCUUCAUGUGUUCGGUGGAUUAAUUCACAGAUACGGCCUUUGCCCCAUGUAUGUCUUUUUGCAUGUUUGCGCACGUGUGUUAAAACUUUAGGUUGGCCGAUUUAAGCGGCAAGAAUGUUGAGCAUAAGAAUAUCCUAUAUCAGAAUCGAAGAAUUUUGAAGAAUUAUGUGCUGAUAUUAGACUCUUAAUGGAUAAACAUAGUGUCAUAGUCCCUGAGGCCUUCUCACAGUGUUAGACAUGAUUGGCUAAGAUCGAUGAUCAUGAUUUUCUACCGUACAUUCGCCGAGCGAUCAAAGAUAUAUCAACAUCAUUCCUUUUCCGGAGAUCCCAUGUCCCCAUACCUAUUUACCUUAGUAAUGGAAGUAUUCUCCGGAGUGUUGGUAUCCCGCACGAUGAACCACGACUUCAAAUACUUCUGGAGGUGUAAACCGGUUCAAUUGUCUCAUUUGUUCUUUGCCGACGACGUCUUCCUUUUCUGCCAAGUGGACUGGUCUUCAGUGUCCAUGUUAAAGACAAGCCUUGACAUCUUCUCCUCUUGGAGUGGUCUCUUCCCAAAUAAAAGUAAGAGCGAGAUCUUUAUAUCUGGCGGUGAUCUCUCCAUUCGGAAUAGAAUCCUCUCGACAUUCGGAUUUCGAGAAGGUAAGCUCCAAGUCCGGUACUUGGGAGUCCCUAUUAUUUCCUCUAGGCUGAAUAGAAUUGACUGCAUUGUCUUGACAGAUCGUAUCACUGCUAGAAUCCAAUCUUGGGCUCAUCGAUUCUUAUCAUUUGCGGGUAGAUUACAACGUAUCCGAUCGGUGCUUCAUGCCAUCCAAUCUUUCUGGACAAGUGUAUUUACUCUUCCUUAUUCGGUGCUAGUUAAUAUUGAACGAAUCAUGAGACAAUUUCUAUGGAAAGGAACGGCCCUUGGCCGAGGUGGAGCUAAGGUUGCAUGGGAAGAUGUUUGUCUUCCAAAAACUGAAGGUGGUUUGGGUAUUCGGAACCUCAAGGAUUGCAACAAAGCUUCAAUGGUAAAAUUUAUAUGGAUCCUCUUCUCCGAUAGGGAAUCGCUAUGGUGUCGAUGGAUCCAUUCCAUCUUCUUAGCUAAGAAGAAUUUCUGGAUUGCGUCUCAACCCAGGACAUGCUCCUGGUCUUGGAAAAAAAUUCUCCAGCUUAGAAGUAAUUUCCGAUGCUCCUUUAGAUGGAAAGUUGGAAACGGUUUCUCUAUGUCCUUAUGGCAUGAUUAUUGGCUGCCGUGUGGCCCUCUUGAUGCAUUCGUGCUUCCAUCGUUCAGAAGCAGCCUCCAUAUCCCCGAUCAUGCCGUUGUUGCUGACUUAUUCACUCCGUUGGGCCUGCCCUUCAAGGAGUUCUUGCUGAGAUGGGGUAUAUCUCUUCCAGAGUUGUCUUUGAACAUUGACAGAUUUACCUGGUGCGGCCAUCCGUCAGGUUCAUUUUCGGUAUCAUCGGCAUGGAACCUUAUUAGAGCCAGGAAAACUCUAGUUAACUGGGCGCCUUUAAUAUGGGACAACGCCAUAACCCCUCGUUACCAGUUCAUUCUUUGGCUUAUUGUGAAGAAUAGGCUUCCCACACAGGUCAUACUUCUAUCCUAUGGUCGUAUUGACUUCAAUGUGUGUGCGUUUUGCAGCAAAGUCCCUGAUUCGAGAGACCAUCUUUUCUUCGGAUGUCGCAUCUCGGCUUCCUUGGCCUUCUUCUGGGCCGCCAGAUGCAACCUUCCUUGGAAAAAUCGAUGCUGGAAUGAGGUGCUCUCUUGGGCUCGGAAGUUCCUAACCGGUAAUGACUUCUAUCAUAGAAUAGUUCGGUUCUCCUUCGGAGCCCUUUGCCAUCUCAUCUGGAAGAAAAUGAAUGCAAUCAUAUUUAAAGGUGAAUCCCUUGUGGUCCCGGCGCUCGAAAAUCACCUUAUUAAGGUGGUUAGAGACAAAGCCAUCACCUUUAAGAAUGUCUCUCCUUCCCCGAGGAACAAAAGACUUCAAAGAGGAUGGGGCUUGAUCCGAUGGUGUUUCUUAGUGGAUUUGAUCCUUAGACACUACUUGCUGUCUCUCAUUUCCGUUCCGCAUUCUGAGGUUGACGACUGGAGGUUCGGUGGUUCCAUCCUUCGCCGGUGUUCCUAGUUGUUCUUCGUGUUUUCCUAGCGGGUUAAUGCCCUUGUCCUUUUUUCAUCGGUUCCCCUUCACUUUUGCCAAUCGGCUAAGAGUGUAGGUUUUGGAUCCGAUCUUUUGUAAUUUUGUCCAUGCUCUAUAAAAUUAUUACCUUUACCAAAAAAAAAAAAAAAAACAUCAUUCCUUUUCCUUUUCUUUCGCAUAUGGACAUUUAUGAACGCGUGACGUUAACCUACAUAGACCAAAUGCAAGUAGCGUCACCACCGAAUGGUCCAUGGAUGUAUCAACAUCAUGCUUUUCUAACGUACUUUCGCUGAGCAAUCAGAGAUAUAUCAACAUCAUGCUUUUCCUUCUUUUUUUUCGAAUCUAGACAGUGUGAACCCGUGACCUUGACCAGAAUAGACUAAAUGCAUGCUUUUCCUUUCUUUUCGAAUAUGGACAGUGUGAACCCGUGACCUUGACCAAAUUAGACUAAACGCAAACAGGGUCACCACAAAAUGGUUCCCAGCUGUAUCCCCAAUUCCCUAAAAGCAGCAUGUCAACUUCAAAGACUUCAAUUAUAGUCAUAUUUGAGCCUCUACCUGACUCUUCUGAAGAAAUUAUUCAACCUCAUGAAUUGUGUCAGGAAGAUGCUUGAAAUGGGCGAAUGGUGUCAGGAAGAUGCUUGAAAUGAGCGAUAGUGUCAUAAGUGCAUUCGCAAUUAGUCUUCCUACCAAAAUAGUCGGAAAUGAUUUAGACCCAGCAAAAAAAUAAAGUGUAAUGAGCAAUCAGCAGUCUUGGUAUAAAUUUGAUUGUCCAUUUCUGUUCAAAAACCAAUUAACAUUUGAAGGUAUGGUCAGCAAAAAGAAAUGAUCAUAAAUUGGAGAAGGGGAAGAUAAUCUACGAACAGCAAGAUGACAUCGGGAUGUAGUAAUUAUCCAGUUUUAUCAUAAUUUUCUUCAAUUAGUCAAAAUUGUUAGUUGAUUACUUUGUAUUAUUCCAGUAUUAGUAAUAACUUCCUUUCAUAUUUUAUAACUCGACAUGGAAUUACUAAAUAAUCAUUCCAAGGGUAAUUUUCCUCAACUAGUCAUAACUUGUCAUUCCUAUCCUUAAUAAUUACACCUCUGGCAAUUGUAAUUUGCCUAAAAUCAUCACGAUCUCAAUCCCAUGUCCAAUUAGUACUCUCCCUUUUGUGUAGUAAUUGAGCUAAUACAGUUUGAAACAAAAAUUUCCUAUCACAUAGCAAUAAACCAUUGGGAUAAUAAGAUACUUGAAAUUGUCAUAGGAGGCACAACUUAUAAUCAAUUAUUGACAUUUAUAAUCGUAAAUCAGUCGCAAGUUCGUGUAGAUGGCAAUGAGUUCUCUACUUUUAUAGAUAGUAAAUUACCUCAAGUCAUCGUAAGCUCAAAAGAUCAUAAGGAUCAUAAUUUUUAUUGAGAAAUCUAAGCAACCUAAAGUUUACUUUCUAUUUCCCUAUUCUUAGUAAAUCUACAUAGAUAAUCCUUCAAAUUUGUAAUCAAUGGAUCUUGUCCAUAAGUAAUAAUCCUUUCGACUAUCGUGAUUUUCCGUAAUUAAUCGUAGAAUUUGCACAAGAACAAACUUCCUUAAUUAUCAAUAAGUUACCACUUGAAUAUGUUUUGGUUACACUAAAUAAAAUUGAUCCCAUGGCUGAAAUUUUUGGACUUUAAAUCCUAUAAGUCAUUCUUUUUUUAAACUGCCACAAAUCAAAUCAAAUAAGACAGCCAUCCAUUAUACAUCUAAACUCCAUCUUUUCCAUAAAUUCAACAGGAUUAAGACAUUUAUUGUUUUCACAAGCACAUACCAUACUCUAAUGCAUCGGAGCUAAGUUGUCUAAUCGGCACACUGAACGACGCAUGCACUGUAUAGCAUCUCCUCUUUUAUGGCCUUAGGUCUCAGGGCGCUUCUUCGUAACAAAACACAUUUGCAGCUAUAUACAGCCACUAAACCGUAUGAUCCUCUGGCCUGCGUUCUGUCGAGGCUUUGCGGACGAAUUCCAGAACCUUGCAUACCAAUUUCAGGAUUAAACGAAGCGACACAGGAAAAGAAGAGCUAUCAAUCCAACCCAUGCUAGCACCACAAGUCCAAUUGAACCAAUGAACGUUUUCAGUUCGCUCGCUAGUGUGAAGACAAAUACGGAGAUGGCAUAAGUUGCCGCUGCAAAGCUUAUUGCAACCCACAUAAUCAGCAUUGCAAUCCUCGUGGUGAUCCAAUGCCACUUUAGAGGAAGACUACUCAUCAAAAGCAUAAUGAUAUUAAGCGACGCAAUGAAGCAAUGAAGCUUAUCAUGUUAUAUGUUAAGAAAUUCUUACACGCGUUCAGGAACUUAUCUGUCAUUACAGAUUCACUCGCAGUAUAUGCUGCAGCCUUUUCAUCACCCAUGAAAUCUUCUUCCCAAAGGCCGUGAGGUGGGGUAAUGCUGGCUUGGAAUGUCAUGGUAGCUAGCAAUGUCACUAUCACCAUUAGCAUCUUAUGCAUUUUACCUUGCCACUUUCUCUUUCUUUCCUCACUUUCACCUUAUGCUAGUAGGGCGAAUGCCGUGAAACCUCCGGUGUUCUUAAUGUCUGGUUUAACUCCUUUAUUAGUCAAGAAGAGCAUCGUCUGCAGAGGAGUAACAUCAAAAUGAAUCGAUUGGGGUCAAAUUUCAACUAGACAACCCGAUGUUACGUACUGAUUAACUUUGCUAGUAGCGUUUUUCAGUUCGCUAGUCUUUCUGACUAUUAUUUGAUGCCUUACUCAUCCCUUGAUGAAACUCUUUUGCUAUCUCCAAUUCUAUGUUCCUUCCGAUCUAGAUAAAAUAAGUAUCAAAAUUGUGUGAAGUGUAAAGUUGUAGUUUAGUAUAUGGACCAACGACUUCUUUCUUUUUUAAAUAUCAUGACCUACAAUGGAUAUCUUUUAGCUUCCGAAUAUUUCUAGGAUAUUAAUGUAUAUUAGAAUCACCCUUUUCUUUAUUAAUAAGCUCACUAAAUUUGACUAGUGCAUAGGCUUGGUUGUAUAAACAUACUUAGCUUCUCUAUCUGUAGUAGCCAAAUGCAAAAUCGUGUUGCCAUAUUUGUCCCUCGAGUUGAUGAACUAAUUGUUACUGAGGAUAUCUAUCAAAAGUUUCAAAGCUUCUAGUAUAUUAUGCGUCAUGCAUAAAUGUAAGAUCGUUUGGCCAUGUUCAACAACACUAUGGGCUGCAUCAGGUCUUGCUUGGACCAAGUAUUCCAAUAUAUCCACAUGGCCUUUCAUGGUCGCAACAUAAAGAGGGUUUCUUUCAUAUUUGUUAUGGACGAUACAUAUAUCAAGGUUGACUCUUAACAAACUUGCUACGAUGUUAGGGUAUCUUUUUGCUGCCCGAGAUGAAGAGGGAAUCUUGCUCUCUUUCCAGCUCGGCCUUCUGAGCUAGGACCUCUUCCACAAAAUCCAAGUGUCCAAACAUGGUUGCAACGUGUAGAGGAUUCACGUUAUGUUUUUUGGUAAUGAUUCUAUCAAGAAGUAGUUUAUCUUCUGUGAGCAACUCAAGCAGAGAAUACACAUUCCCUUUCACAGCAGCUAUGUAGAGCUCGGACUCUAUGUUUGGUUCUCUAAAACGAGAGCUUUAGAGUACUCUUUCCUCCAUUUUGAAACUUGAAUAAAUACUAUCACAAGUCGAGGGUUUUCUCGAAGAGGGGUCUUCUCUUUCUCUCGUCGGAGGGCCUUCUCGGUUAAGCCGGCGAUGGCGGCGCCUGCUUCGGCGGGAUCGAAGAGGGGUUUUCUCUUUCUCUCGUCGGAGAGCCCUUCUCGGUUAAGCCGGCGACGGCGGUGCCUGCUUCGGCGGGAUCGAAGAGGGCUUUGCUUCAUCCGAACAAAGAAACUCGAAGAGGGGUUUUCUCUCUCUCUCGUCGGAGAACCCUUCUUGGUUAAGCCGGCGAUGACGGCGCCUGCUUUGGUGGGACCGAAGAGGGUGGGCGCCCGGACCAUCGUCGACGGCUCGGGGACCAGGUUGCGGACGGACGCAGAGACAAGGCUGUGUGGCGGCGCGUGGGUUCGCAUAGGAGCGUGGGUUCCUCUCUCGUAACCCUCCGUGAGUUUUCCUCUCUCUCUCGUCGGAGAUCCUGUCACGGUUUGAGCCGGCGACGAUGGCGCCUGCUUUCGGCUGGAUCGAAGAGGGUGGAGCCGCAUCCGGGUCCGCGUGUGGCCGGACCAUCGUCGGCGGCUCGGGACCAGGUUGCGGACGGACGUAGAGGCAAGGGUAAGUGGCAGCGCGUGGGUUCGCUCUGGUGAGCUGGUUUGAGCGUGAAGAGGUCUCCCUAAAGGUUAGCUUGUUUGUACCUCUCCUUCGGGCUGUUCUUGCUGCCGAUGGACUAGGGUUUUGAGAUCUGGGAAUUUAUUCUGAGAUGGAGGCCGACUCUUUUACUCGACCUCGCCUGAAUGAUGAGGGAUUGCGCUCGUCUGGCCCCUUCCCCCCUAGGAAUGAUCGUCCUUUGACGAAUGCUUCUGUGGUGAAUGCGGGUAACCGAAUGAAACCCCCUUCUGCUGGAGUCGGGACAUUGAACCCCCCAACGACAUUAAGAAGUCGUCCUGUUAAUAGAGAGCCUUCUAAAUCGAAAAGACCUCAGUCUAGGAGUCGAUCGAAGAAGCCUGAAACCUGUUCUUGGGCUGCUGUCGCAAUUGGUGCGAAUAAGGGAUAUGACCUUGAGUUUACCCCCCCGAUAAUUGUGAAUAACAAGCCAGUUAUUCAAAUGGACGACUCUGAUAUCGAUGCCGCGGACCCUAAGUUGUAUGACUGCCUUGUGGGACACUUCAUUGGGAAGAAUCUUCCGUUUAAGCUGGUUGAGGAGUCCCUGAGGAGAGCUUGGGGACCGAAUUUGGUAGAAGUAAUGUCCAAUGGGCGUGGCGUGUUUCUUCUGCGCAUUGUAGAUCGCGAAUUCAGAAGGAGUAUCCUGGAGGACAGUCCCAUUACCAUUGCAAGAAUUCCACUGAUCCUUCAACAAUGGAAACCGGGGGUCGAGCUAAACAAAGAUACUCAUAGAUCUGUUCCAGUUUGGGUAAGACUAAGGAACCUUCCGUUUGCCUUCUGGUCUGCUCAAGCUAUCGGAAAGGUGGCUAGUGCCUUGGGUAAGCCGCUUUAUGUUGAUCAGAAAACUGAGCAGGUGUCCAUGUUGACUUUUGCCCGAGUAUGUGUAGAAAUGACAACUCAGCAACCUCAGUACAAAACCCUUGAUUUAACUACUAAUGGAUCAAAGGUCGUGGUGGAAGUCGAGUAUGAAUGGAAACCGAUGAUUUGUUCCAAAUGUGAAAUGUUUGGUCACACCUGUAAAAAUGUUACUCCUGGUCCUUCUGCUGGACGAUCUGAGGGAGCUUCAGAAAGUAUCCAGAAGGCUAAUCCGGUAGUUGAGGCCCGCUCCUCUAAAGGAAAGGAGGUGGUUAUGCAGCAACCUUCUGCGGAAGAUGUAGAUAUUCAAGUCACCCAUCGUUCUAAAGUGGGUGCAGCAAAACCCGUAUCUGGUGUGGCUGGUGACAGGCCUUCCUAUGUUGGGGAAUCAAGCUUGAGAAAGGCGGCUCCUCAGGGACCGGAUGCUCUACCUGAACCGCAAUCAGUUGCUGAGGAGGAAGGAUGGAAGCAAGUUAAUCGGAAAAAUAAGAAAAAGAAGAUGAAGCAGGCAGCAAGGAAGGCGGCUGCUGCUGCUGCUGCUGCUGCUGAUGCUACUGCUGCAAAUGCUGUAGCACCUACUGAUAUUGUUCAAGCGGAGGUUGCAAAUAUGUCUAUGAUGAAACCAAACGACCCUUCAAAAUCUCUUGAUCCAGUGAUUCAUUCCCUGGCAAGAUUGUUUCCUCCUUCUGUAGCGGACCCUCCUGCUCAGGAUGAUCCCCUGGCUUUAAUCGAUACCUCCGACGAAAUUAGUAAUUCUAGUAUCCAAGAGGACCCGAUUGGAGAAGAUUCUUGGGGAUAUUCCUGAAUCUAAAAGGCUCACCUCGCCGUUAAUGGCAAACUUCCAGGAAAAGCUUCGUAUGCUCCUAUCUGAUGGUCCAGAAGAUCUGAAGAAGGAAGUUACAGCUUCGAGGACCUCUAAAAAGAGGUAAUUUUGCUCCUUGUUUUUUUGAUGAUUGUUGGUUUUUGGAAUAUUAGAGGUAUCUUAAAUCCUCUUAGGCGUGCCGAAAUUAGACGUUUUGCAGCGGUAAAUAAGCUUUGUUUUAUUGGCUUACUUGAAACUAAAGUUCCUUUAGAGCUUUUUGAUUCUAUUUCGGCCACCCUCAUUAAGGGGUGGAAUUGGUGUGCUAAUUAUGAUUAUGCUCCGCGUGGGAGGAUUUGGGUUGGAUGGAACCCGGAUCUCGUUGCCUUUUCUACUAUGUCUAUUAAUGACCAAGUGUUGCAUGGUUUUUUAAAAUGCAAUCUUUCUGGAAGGAGUUUCUGUAUAUCGGCCGUCUACGGAGAACAUACGUUUGCCCGUCGUAGAUCGUUAUGGGAAAAUCUCCAGCUCUGCAGUGAACUCUUCCUCGAUUCACCAUGGCUAGUUGCUGGUGAUUUCAAUGCUAUCAGGGAUCCUUCGGACCGUGUUGGGGGCGCCGCCAAUUGGAUUCCGUAUUUUGAUGAAUUCCACCAGUGCUUGGAGCAAAUGGAUCUUACUGACCUCAGAUUUGUCGGGCUUCGUUACACUUGGUCCACUUCAUCUAGGACCAGGAGGAAUAUGAGAAAGAUAGAUCGUGUAUUGGUUAACAGCAAGUGGAACCUUGAUUUCUCGUAUUCGGAUGCGUCUUUUUUGAACCCUGCAUAUCUGACCACACGCCGAUGGUUGUAAGAGUUGUCCAUCCGGCCCCGAGGAGGAAACCUUUCAAAUACUUUGAUUUCUGGACAGAUCAUCCAGAGUUUAAGGCGAUCGUGCAGCUUGUAUGGAAUACUCCGGUUAGAGGCAUCCCUAUGUUUAAACUGGUUUCUAGGUUGAAGAUUUUGAAAGCUCAACCCUCAACCAGGAUGCUUUCUCUAACAUUUCGGCUAGAGCUGCUGAGGCAAGAGAAGCUCUCAACGCCACUCAAGUUCAACUUCAAUCAAACCCAUCUAGCUUUGCUCUUGCUGAUCAAGAAAGGUGCCAACGUCAGGUGUUUGUUGAAUUGAGGAAUCAAGAUGAAUCUUAUUAUAUGCAAAAGUCCAGAAUUAGAUGGCUAAAGCAAGGUGACCGGAAUACGAAUUUCUUCCACCAGUCUGUCAAGAGGAGACAGCUAAUCAACAGAAUCCUUUCGGUGAAGGAUCCCACCGGUUCACUGAUUACUGACCCGGGGUUGGUUUCGCAGGUGUUCAUUAGCUACUUCUCUUCGUUGUACUCCCCCCAUGAUGCGUUAAUUAGGCCGUCCGUCCAAGAGGUGGAGCGGGUUAUUCGACAACCUCUAGCUGCUGAUCAGAUGUGCCUUCUCUCUAAUCCAGUUUCUGAUGCGGAGAUCAAGUCUACGCUGUUCUCAUUAGCCAAAGGUAAGGCCCCUGGACCUGAUGGAUUCUCGGCUGAAUUCUUCAAGUCCAACUGGGAGAUCGUUGGUCCAUUGGUUUUGGAGGCGGUUCACGACUUCUUCCACAUCGGCCGGCUGUUGAGAGAGGUAAAUGCAACCAUCCUUGCUCUCGUCCCUAAAGUUCCUAAUGCCAGUGCUGUUUCGGAUUUUAGGCCGAUUGCUUGUUGUAAUAUUAUAUAUAAGGUGAUUACCAAGAUCUUGGCCAAUCGUAUAGCGGCGGUUUUAAAUGUUUUGAUAAGUCCAUCUCAGAAUGCGUUUGUUAAAGGAAGGAGAAUUAGGGAUAACAUCCUCUUGGCUCAGGAAUUGUUUGCGGGGUUUCAUCUCCACCCAUACCUGCCUAAAUGUGCGGUUAAGGUUGAUUUCCAUAAGGCAUAUGACACGGUAGAUUGGGAGUUCCUUGAACUUGUUCUUGUAGCCUACCACUUCCCGGAGAAUUUCAUUAAGUUAGCGAUGGCUUGUGUUCGGACUCCUAAAUACUCAAUUUCUAUAAAUGGCGAUCUCCAUGGCUUUUUUUUCGGGAGGACGUGGUUUGAGAUAGGGUGACCCCAUGUCACCUUAUCUCUUCACCCUAGUUAUGGAAGUGUUUUCCGGUUUAUUGGUGUCUCAAACUUCAAAUCAUGAAUUCAGGUAUUAUUGGAGGUGUAAGCCAGUCCAACUAACGCAUCUAUUCUUUGCUGAUGAUGUUUUCCUUUUCUGUCAAGCUAACUGGCCGUCAGUAUCCAUGCUGAAAAGAGGCUUAGAUAUAUUCUCAUCCUGGAGUGGAUUGGUUCCUAACAAAAACAAGAGUGAGAUUUUUAUUGCAGGUGGUGACCCUUCUAUUCGAAACAGAAUCCGGUCGGCAUUUGGUUUUAAGGAAGGGAAACUCCCUGUUCGCUAUCUUGGGGUACCUAUCAUAUCUUCCAGAUUGAAUAAGGGGGAUUGUAUUGCAUUGACGGAGCGUAUUACGGCUAGGAUUCAAUCCUGGGCGCAUCGUUUCCUGUCCUUUGCAGGGAGACUGCAGCUGAUUCGGUCGGUUCUUUAUUCGAUUCAAUCAUUCUGGACAAGUGUCUUUAUGCUUCCCGCUUCGGUUUUGUCGGACAUCGAGAGAAUUAUGAGGCAAUUUUUAUGGAAGGGAACGGCUCUUGGCCGUGGAGGAGCAAAAGUAGCGUGGGAAGAUGUAUGUCUUUCAAAACUUGAAGGGGGUCUUGGCAUUAGGAAUAUCAGAGAUUGCAACAAAGUCUCUAUGCUCAAAUUCAUAUGGAUCCUCUUCUCGGAUAAGGAAUCGAUGUGGUGCCGGUGGAUUCAUUCCAUUCUCUUGACAAGGAAGAAUUUUUGGUUUUCAUCUCAACCUGCGACUUGCUCCUGGGCGUGGAAGAAAAUCCUCCAGCUUAGAAAGCACUUCAGAACUUUGUUUAGGUGGAAAAUUGGUAAUGGGCUAUUGGUAUCCUUAUGGCAUGAUUACUGGCUUCCAUGUGGCCCUCUUGAUGGAUUCGUUCCGCCCUCGUUUAGGGAUAAUAUGCGGCUUCCUGAUAAUGCAGUAGUUGCUGACUUAUACACCCCGUUAGGCGACUCAUUCUCUCGGAUAUUAAUCAGAUGGGGUGUAGCUUUACCAACUCUGGAGGCUUAUAAUGAUAAGUUUAUUUGGUGUGGCGAUCCAUCAGCCUCCUUCUCGGUCGCAUCCGCAUGGAUACCAUUAGAACCAAGAGAGAUCGGGUGGAUUGGGCUUCUUUGAUUUGGGAUAUCGAUAUAGUCUUGUGCCAUCAGUUUAUUCUGUGGCUUAUAUCUAGAAACCGUCUUCCCACUCAGGUGAUGUUGUUAAAUCAGGGUCGAAUUGAUUUUAAUCUAUGUGCCUUUUGUAGUGAAGUACCGUACUCAAUUGAACACCUAUUCUUCCGGUGUCGCAUCUCGGCCUCGUUGGCCUUCUUUUGGGCGGCCAGAUGUAACUUGCCAUGGAGGAAUAGAUGUUGGAGAGAGGCGCUCACUUGGGCUAGGAAAUUCCUCAUGGGGAAGGAUUUUUACCACAGGAUAGUUCGAUUCUCUUUCGGUGCUUUGUGCCAUCUCAUUUGGAAGAAGAGGAAUGCGAUUAUCUUCGGGGGUGAAUCCUUGGUGGUCCCUGCCCUUAAAAAUCACCUAAUCAAGGUGGUUAAGGACAAAGCACUCACAUUCACGGAAGUUCUUCCUUCUCCGAGGAACAGAAGACUGCAAAGGGGGUGGGGAUUCCACCCCAUGAUCUUUUCCUCUGUAGCUAUUCCUCCUUAGGUUGUUGUUGUUUCGGUCUGCUCUUGUUCUUGUAGUUGUAGGUUCCUUCCUCCUCCGUUCUCCGCUUUCAGCUUUGAGGGCUUGAGGGCUGGGGAGGCUACGGGUUCCUGUUGUUACGUCUUGUUUGUUGGCUUCAUAGCUUUUGUGUUCUUGCUGGCGCCCUCGGGCUUUUUAUCGGAUCCCCGUCACUCUUGCUCCUUUGUUAAGAGUGUUUGUUUGGAUCCGAUCUUUUGUACUUUUGUCCUUUCUCAUUAAUAUUAUUAUCUUUACCAAAAUAAAAAAAUAAAUAAAUACUAUCACAACCAAGUCACCUUACACAGGGCUUGACGAAGACCGAAAAAUGAUCAGUAGAUCUUUCUCGUCAGCGUGUAUUUGGCGCAAUUCCGGCAAAUGUCCUUGAAUGUCAGAAAGGAAAAUGAUUUAUGUGAGGAUUCGGUUGUCGGCCAUUUUCCGCCGAGUCUCGUCUCCACUGGUCCUACAUUCGCGUUGAUGCCGUGACGUCCUUUGAUGAUGUAAAGCAGCCACUCUUUUCAUGCAAAUUGUAAUGAAUUACUUUGAAAGCACAUGAAUUUCAUCGGUAUGGGAGUUAUAGUUUUUGCACUAUCGCACGCUCAAUCGUAAUGAGCCGCAACUUAGGCACUUUCAGAUAAAUUAAUCUGCCGUAUGGGUGUGUUAGGAUAGAACCAAAUGAGCAAUAGAAUCAUUAGCACAUUAGAAGUCGGUCUUCUCAACAAUGUUGAUCCCAAGUAAUUUUCAGCUUGCCAGUAGUUUAAGCUCAACAUGGAGGCAUCAGCCUUGUUAUGCCUCAAAAUUCUGCCGAAGAGAGUCGAUCUUCUCUUUCUCCCAUAAAAAAAUUUAAAGAUUGAAGGACCAUAAGUUUCUAUUGAUUUGAUCAGUCACGAAAGGCCUAAAUGGCGCUAGACAGGGGAAAUGAAUCACGUAAAAUGCACACCCCAUUCAACUAUUCGUGAAGGAUUGUGUUUACAUCAUGCUUCUCCUUAACAAUGUCACCACAAAAUGGUUUCCAACUGUAUCCCAUUCAACUAUUCGUGAAGGAUUGUGUCCACGUGAAUAUGAUGAGAUCUAUAGCCCACACUCCAUUAUUUUCCUUAAACACACUAGAAAAGACUUACACUUGUAAAGUGACCUAUCUCCUCCCAAUUUUCCUAUGUGGGACAAGAAAAAACACAUUUUUUUUCAACCAACAAUAGUGUCAUAAGUGACCACCGGCCGCGGUGGCUCCACUGGAUAAGACUCUGUUGAUUCUCAACGAAGAGGUGAAGGGUUCAAAACCCAGGGGAAGUGCUAGGUGUAUUAAGUGUGACUCAGGGGUGGUGGAUCCUCCUACUUAAGUGUCACUUGAAGAUUUACGGCGCGGCUGUCGGCUGCAAGCCGGUUCCUCUAAUACCAAAAAAAAAGAAAGAAGAGAAAGUGUCAUAAGUGCAUUUGCAAUUAGUUUUCCUACCAAAAUAGUCAGAAAUGAUUUAGAGCCAGCAAAAAAAUUAAGAACAAGGAGCAAUCCGUAGUCUUGCUGUACUUAUUGAUUGCCUAAUCUCCGUUCGAAAACCAAUUAACAUUUGAAGGUAUGAUCAGCAAAAAUAAAUGAUCAUAAAAUGGAGAAGGGAAAGCCAAAAUUGUCCGAAUCAAUUUGACCUGUUGAGUUGCUUCCCAGAAAGAAAGAGCUAGAAAACCAAGUCAUGUGACAAAAUUAAGCAGGUUACAUUCUCAGAUCACUUGCUCCACUGCAUUCAGAAAACAUGGCAAAGAAUUCUUUAAAAUGUUUUGAUUCUUCCUAGCGUGAAAUGUGUAAAAAAUUUGUCGGCACCUAAUCUUUAUAUUGACUUUCAUUUCUUUAACAGUGGAGGAGGUGAACAAUGUACAUUAGGAGGACGGAGAGCUGCCACGCCCAUCGCUGGGGAUGUAUUAGGACGAGUUUGGUUUGGCCACCUCAUGAUGUGGAUUUUGAUCCUAUCUAUCGUGUCGAUGGCUGCGGUAAGGACUUCCCUUAUGUAGUUGUGCUCAAAGCAGUGUAUUAGCCCUUCAGAGCACGCAUUUGAAGGCAUUUGGCUUUUGCCUUCUAAUCUCGAGACCACAAGCAGGUGCCCAGCCGCAUUGGCCUCCUCGUGGAUGCGUCCAAGCCCGGGGCGAUCGGCUGCCGAUCCUUUGAUCAUGGAGAAGAUGCAGAUGAAGCCCUGCGCGGGGGAGCAUGUCAGAUCAAUUUCUGCAGGAAUGUCAGCUAAUAAAAUGUUGUCCUAUGAUUGUGAUGAUUACCUCUUCGAUUCGUUUGAUGUCCAUUCCGAACUGUGUUUCUCCCGGUUCAGGGACUAGUUCUACUGAAACCUCCGCAAUUCCCGGUAAAAACCAUAACCUUAUCCCAUGAACCAUUUGGACGGUCAUUGUCUGGCUAUGUUGCUUCCCCAAACUAAUUUCUUUUCCUGUGGGGAUGUUCUUGCCCUUAGGAAAAAAAGAAGAAAAAGACCGGAAGUAGUCACUCACCGUGCCAAGAAUUAGAAGCUAUAUUUACAUGAAGGAGCUAUAAUCAUAGACAGAUCUCAAGAGCUUGGCGAAAAAUCCCGAUGGAAGAGAGAAUUUACCGACGUCAUGAUCUGUUCAGUUUGGAUAUCGACAAAGACGAGGAAUUCCUGAGGAAACCGACGCACAGAACCAGGCCAUGGACCGGGUUGUAAUGGCCUCGACGGUGUGCUUACCUGGCAGCGGCAUAAACAGAACGGAGCUAACUACCGGAGACCGUUGAUCGGGCAAGUAGGUCCCAACUUUCGCCUUCCAGUCACAUCUCAUUCCUUUCUUCUUGAAUCCUGCUGUGUCCACGUUCACCACCCGCCUGCUCAUUUCUGCAUCGCCAGAUGGAAAGUCCUCAUCUUAUCCCUUUGCAUGAUAUGCACGCAUGCUCGUCCAAAUGAAUGUUCAAGAGGUAGCAUAUAUAUCUACCAGCCAUCAUCCUAGCAGGAUAAUUGUGGAUGAAUGUUUGCAGCACAUUGGGAUGGACUUUGAUUUUCCUGGUUUUGUCUCCAGGACCUCUUGCCCAGUGAACGCAGUCCGUGAUUUACUAUUGUGAAGUUCUAGUCUGAAGGCCUACGUUUAAUCGUCUCGAGUGAAAAUUUUGAAUAGUUAAAAUCAAUCAAGUUUAACUAGAAAUACUAAGACUUUUGUCCAAAACAUGUUCAGUUUGACCGGCCAGUGAAUGCUGAUGUGAUAAUUUUUAAAUAAUCUUUGUUUAUUUUUAUCCAAUUUUCUAUUAUUUUUUUCUUUUUCUUUUUCAUUUUUAUUUCUUUUUCCUCUCCCACCUCAUUGGGCUUCUUCUCACAAUGACCGAUGAGGCCUUAGUGAGACUAGCGGCUGCAAAGCCCUUGCGGCCACAAAGCCCUUGUCGGCCACCUGUGAGGAUCACGGCCCUUGCUCGGCCUCCCUUAGAUCUAGGCGAGGCCUAGGGGCUGCGGGUGAGGGCCACAACCCUCGUUGGUGGCUGAUGAGGGUUUCGCGGCCCUCACCUAGUGACUAGCGAGCCUCACUAGCUAUUGCAGAGAAGCCCAAAGAGGAACGAGAGGAAAAAAUAAAAUGAAAAAUGAAAAAGAAAAUAAAUUAAUUAAAAAAUUAGAAAAAUAUUAUUUUAAAAUGACCAAGUUGAUGGCAACGCCAAUCAGUCAAGAUUGAUCGGAUGGAUUAAAUUGAUAUCAAUGUAAAAAAAAGUUAAAAUUAAAUUGAUCCAGUUAAAAUUUUUUAUACUAAAUUGAUAUCAAUAUUUUAUAUUUAAGAUUUUUUUGUACUUUUCCCAUUAUUACUUUAACCUGAAAUCCAAACAUGUGGACCUAUAUUACCUUUGAUCAUUUAAUUUUCGCACGAGACUCGCGGGAAUCAGAAACUAAGAUGAUGGUGCCAUCCCAAUUGCUAUUUGAGCUGCGGGGCCUCCAUUUUGGGAGCUCUUUUGCUUUUUUCUUAAAUUGGGUAGUAAAGAUUUUUUUAUAUAUCCACCGGGCCGUUAUAUUCCAAUCUAAUUGCCGACAUACAAUGACUAGAAAUUCAAUCGAAUUGUUAGAAUUUAGUCUGUAUUAGAGAUAGUCCUACAUACUCUAUUAAUCAUUUGAUAAUUAAAAGCCCUUACUAGAUUUCAUUACACAGAGACAUGUCUCAUUACACAUAACAAAACCCCAUAAGAUAACAGAGGGAACUCCACAAGCCCCUAAAAAACUUUCAUAGACAGAACUAAAACCGGGCCAUCAUCAACCGGCCUUGACUUCGAUGGUCUUGGUCUUCGGCUCCGGCGGCCGCACCUUCUCGACGGCCACCCUGAGCACCCCGUCCUGGUACGCCGCCGUCACCGUGUCCACAUUAGCGUUCUCCGGCAGCGCGAACCUCCUCAUGAACUUCCCGGUCCUCCUCUCCAUGCUCAGGUACUUGGCCCCUUCCUCUUUCUCCCUCUUCCUCUCCCCGCUCACGACGAGCACGUUGUCGUUCUCUACCUGGACCUUGAUCUCGUUGGCCCUUACCCCGGGCAUGUCCACGACGAACACGUAGGAGCCCGGGUACUCCACGAC
Molecule: long non-coding RNA, 53510 nt
Filed under: Eucalyptus grandis
Lineage: Eukaryota; Viridiplantae; Streptophyta; Magnoliopsida; Myrtales; Myrtaceae
Description: long non-coding RNA (EGRA_LNC001310)
Source: RNAcentral